UCAUUUCCUUUUAUUCUUCUUUAGAGAUCUGGUACGUCAAAUAUCAUACUAAUAUUGUUGUUUUUUGUUAUUGUGGUUGUUUGGUUGUUGUUGUUGUGUUUCUUGUUGUUGUUUAUGUUGUUUGUUGUUGUUUGUUUUGAUGUUGUGAGAUUGAACUUAGAAUUUUCUUGCUUAUUUUUGUUUUGUUAUUGACUUUUUGUUUUCUUAUGUUUAUUAACCCUAGAGGUUUUAUUGACGUGUUGUUUAUUGGCGUAUUACUUUGAUAUUUUGUUUUUUGUGUUGUUUUUUUCUUUUUUUGUUUGUUGAUGUGAUAUGAUAUUAUUUUUAUGAUUCUUUCUACACUCUCGAUCUUGUUCUAAUCGAGUUGAGCUUCUUUAUAUCUAAUGUGAUUGUUUAUUUCACUAACCCUUCUUGAACAUUAACCUAAUAAAAUUAUUAUAUCAUAUGAAAUUAUAUUGUAUCGGAAACAUCUUAUACUGAUUAAUGACUUUCUAGCUUCUACAAUUCAUCAUCUCCUAUUAAUUUUUAGUUAAAUCUUUACUACUUAUAGUUUUCUUUCUUUCUUUUCAUAUUUGUCAUUUUCAAAACACAAUUGAUAUUCAAUUAUUGAUUUAGAUUAAUCUUGUGUUUAAAGAUUUGUAUGUGUUACUAAUCAUAGAAUGAACCUAUGUUGUAGGAUCAAUGACCUAAAUCAAUGAACUUGAACGUAUUAACGUUCAUAUAAUUUAUUUAGGAAAACAAUUUAAAAUUGUGAUUUAAGGUUUAACGUACCAAUUUGUCUGUUUUAACUUCAAACUAUCUAAGGAUUAUGGAGCUGUCUGUAAAAUAUGAUUAUAUACAAGAAAUGAGUUUAAAUUAAUUAAUGUCAAUUUUUAAUUAAAAAAUUAAAAUAAAUAUUGACGUCUAAUAUAUAAGAUAUACCACGGUCCUUUAAAAAACACUGAUUAUAUAAUUGAUAUAGUAUUAUAUAUAUAUAUUUGUAGGUGAUUCUUAUGAACCACAAUAUGAUAAAACUUUUUUCACAAAUUGAUAUAUUUUUAUUUUACAAACUAAAUUCAAAAUUAUUUUGUACCACACUCUAAAUCUCCGAGCAAGAUACAAUUUGACCCUUUUUGUAAAUUGUUGCUAAUCUAUUUGCUACAAUUUUAGUAAAUUAAGAAUAUAUGGUAUUAAUGUAUUUCCACGAUGUUUAUGCAUAUUUUACAACAAUUUUAAUAUGAGAUGGAUAUAUUAUGAACGAUGAAAGAUUACCAACAAAUUCAAUGCAUAAACUUUAUUUAUUUGUAAAUAGGAAUACAAAACAGGGAUUCUCAUGAGCUAUAUAUUCAUUCCACAUGUAUAAGCUCUCCUUCAUGGUAAACUAUACAAAAUAAAAAAGAUAUAAACGAAGGGAUUAAACCAUAAGUAGUAGCAAGUCAAGUGGGUUAACUAGCUAAUGAGACCCACUUUAUUUAUAAAAUAUAUAUAAUAUGCUUUGUUGGACGCAUGAUUAGCGAUGAAUUUCUCGCUGCAAUUUUUUUCUAAUGAUAUGGGCUUAGAUCACGUGCGUAGUUUUAGGACGGGAGUGAAAGUGCAUAAGUGUAUCAAUCUUUAUUAUCAGUUCGGGAUGGAUGAGGAGGAGUAAAAUGAAUGAAAAAUUGAGGAGAAUGAGAGGAAGAUGUGAAAUAUAGUGGAAAAGAACAGAAAGUCCGGAGGAACAGGAUAGCGGAAGCAAGGAACAACCUUGUAAGAUGAUAAAAGAGCAAUGGAAGUUGUUUUGUUGUGCUAACAUAUAUGUUAACCCAAGUUUUAUUAUAAUUCAAUGCACACUCUUAGAGUCUCCAUUGGAUUUUCUGUGUGAAUUCAAAAUGUACCACUUUAUGCCAUCGGGAUUGUUACAAGUAUCACUCUACCAUAAUGACGACAUGGGUUUUAAACUUAUAAUGCCUACGGAAUUAAUUGAUAGCUUAUUAUUUGUGUCCAUUAUUUCUAUUCCAUCGUUUUGUAUCACUCUAUCUUUCUUGCCUAGCCACUCAAAUACUUCUUUCAUAUCUUUAUAACAGUAAGUGUAUACUUUUUUGAUAAGACACAAAUGCCGAUACAGUUCAUGAACAAUCAAUAUCAUAAUUUUCAAAUAGUUUUUUUAAAUUUGCAGAGGGGAGUUGUGAUUUUUUGUCUCUUUAAUUUUUAAUUUUUUAACUCUCCCACAAAUGCCUGUUUUGACGAUGUAACAUAUAUAUAAAAUGAUCAAUUAGUGAUUCAAAAAUCCGGUAAAUGGUUGGACCGGUGAACCGGUUGAGUCACACCGAUUUUCACCAACUAGGGUCCUAUGAAUUUACCGAACUACUUUCCUAUUGCGUUCUCGAUGCUAACAUGUCGUUACAUUUGAUAUGAGUCAUUUUAUAGCGAUAGCAAAUGUUUGACAGUUGUUGAGACAUGUUGUCUCUAUGAGAUCAAAUCAGGAGCAACAUGACAUAUGUGCAAGAUGUAUCCCAGAUUGUGAGACAUUCUGCCUCAUCAGAAGUCAAUAUCAUAAGUAAAUUCGUGCCUAUGAAUGUUUGUUUCCAUUUCUUGUUCAAUCUGUUAUUUUUCAUGUACUUUUUGAUUAUGGAAUUUUUCCAAGAUCAAUCCAGGAAUUUAAAAGAAAAAUACUGAUUGUGAGAGUUAUACACAUCAAGAUCUACAAAUCAACUUAAUGAAGAUAGAUUCUUACAGUAUGGAUUUGCUUCAGCACACGAAAUGAUAUUGAUCGUAUCUCAAAAAUGUGAUCCUUACGAUGGUCGCGGAAAAAAAAUGAUCAUUUGAACAGUCUCACAACUUUAUUAUUCCAUUGAAGGAAUGUAAAUAUCGAUAAAACCCUGUUAAAACAGAAAAUGUCGUCGCCAACCAAAUUCAGGUCCGGGAGACGAUUACACAAGGAAGAUAUUUAGCACCCUCAUGUCUGUCUUACUCACGGACCUUUUAGUAAACUUGCGAUUGAAUGUUAGCUAUUUAUGUUUUCUUGUAAUGGAAGUUUUAAAGAAAAAGAACGAAACCGCAAAUUGUUUCCUAAUGGGUUCACAAGAUUGCGGGACCUUCCUUCGGUCUUGCUUACGUAUCUUAGGUGCGCAUCGGAGCUUCAUUCUAUGUAGGUCUGGGUAAACAGGAGCUGAUUUUUUGAUUUUUUGGUAUAGUGCUUGAUGAGACGAUGAAUCUCGCUCCUAUAUACUCUAGGUGGUAUGAGAACUCAAAGCUAGUAGAUUCUUUGUAGAAAUGAGUUUUGCUGGAUUGAUUUAUAUGACAGUGUUAGGUCGCAUUCUGACGGUUAACAUGGUUGCUUUCCGUGGGGAGGAUUUACCUACUAGGAUUCGUCUAUAGUUGAUGAUUUGUGACUAAAAAAUUCGGUAACUUAGCCACUGAAUUAGCACCAAACUUUGACUCAUGUUAGGUAAAAUUUUUAAGUCGCUAAAAUCGAUCACCAAUUAAAUUUAGCCACACAAUUAUGACUGAUUUGUGACCUAAUAUUCAAUGAUCGAAUUCUCGGUCACUAAUAAUGUUGGUGGUUUUCUUUCUUUAGUUAUAUUCUAUCUCCAUUCUCUCAUUUUUAAAUAUUUUAGUUAUCCUCAUUUUUAGGCUUUAGUCACUCAAUUUUUUUGUUUUUUAACAUAUAAAACAUUAAUUUAUAUAAAAAAUGAAUGAACAUAAAUUUAUUAAUUUAAUAAGAAAUGUAAUUUAAUGACAUUUAAUAAUUAAAUAUCUCUAUAAUAGACGAGUUUAAAUAUGAAAUUGACAAUUGUUUUGUGAUGGUCCAGUGGUAGCAUGGUAUUCUAUAACAAGGUGUGAGUUUGUACUGCCAUGAGACAUUAUUUUUAUUUAACUUUUCAAUUCUUUAACACACUAAAUGUUGUUUAAAUCGUACUAAUUUCGUCACUGAAAACGGUUAUAUGAUGUUUUUGUAAGCUAUUUCGGUCUCUAAUUCAGCCCACUAAAUACAAUUUUAGUGUGUAAGCCUUUUUAGUUUUGUAUUCGCAUUAGAAGGGACUACAAUGUUCUUUCUAAAGGAUUUCAAUCACACAAGGGCGGAAAGAUUGGUUUGAUUCGUUCGACCGCCCCAGAGGCGAUGUAAGAUAGGUUGAUUGUGAUAUUUUUAGAAGGCGAAGAAGAGUUCGAGAAUAUGGAGCGCCCAAUUAUUUGUUAUUCGAGGAUACGUGAGGCGAGCGCCCCUAUUCCUAUUUGGUCCAAUGUGAUAUUUGAAUUUUUUUUCGAAGUCGAAAUAUUCGCGGUAGUGAGGCGGCCUCCACUUGCUUAUUCGAGGAUAAUGGAGUGUGUGUCACCUAUUCCUUUUAUCAAUUGUGAUGGGCGCGUAGCUUUAUUGGAAGAGGGAUUCCUAGUCACGUGAAAUGGAUAGGCAUAUCUUCACUUUUGCUUCCAUCAUUUUCUUUUACUUAUACUUUUUAUUCUUUUGAAUUUUUUGAUUUGGUUGUGAUAUAAAAACCAUGGAUAGCUAAGUUUGGACCAUGACAAAUAAUUACACUAGGAUUAAAAUAAAAGAAACACAUAUCAAUCAAUUAUAAAGGACAAGCUUGUCCCUUCUAGAUUCUUAUGAGAUUAGAAUGACAAUUAAUUCAUUAAGAUAAACAAAAUCCACCUUAAAAUAACGUAUAAAGAAAAAUAACAAGGAUUUAAAUUGAAUAAAAAAUGCGCUUAAAAUGCUCGAAAAUUAAAUGAAUCCUAAAAUGCCAUACAAUACUUCUGGAAAAUUGUGAGGUUUUGGUCAAUUUUAAAGUAAAAAACACCUGGUUGACAAGGCAGGCUGAUUAAUUACCAUCGCAAAACGAAGCCGACAAUUAAACGGCGCACGCAGGUUAACUACGCAAAUCUAGACCAAUAAACUGACGGUAAGCCGACCUUUAAAUUUCUAUGCCCGCUUAAUCUUUACGUAUAUUUGAAAAUUGAUUUCACUCGUNUCAAGUUAUGAUCCGAACAGUGGAUAGGUAUCAAAUAACCGCUAAAACUGAAAAUAGCAAACGAAAAUAGAUUAAAGGCAACCAUAAACUUAAAUCUAAAAACAUAAUAAAAUAGUAAAACAAGCAAAAUAAACUAGAUAAAUGCCCAAGUACAAUUAUAGAAGAAUGUGCAUCAAAAUGCACUAAUCACUUUCCAACUGAAGUGAAUAUGUUUCUCUGAUAUAUAUAUAGUUUUCUUUUAACUUUCUUUCAUAUUUGUUCAUUUUUCAAAACAACAAAUUGAUAUUUCAGUAUUGUUAUUUAGUUAAUCUUGUGUUUAAAGAUUUGUAUGUGUUAACUAACUCAUAGAUUGAACCUAUGUUUGUAGGGAUCAAUGACCCUAAAUCAAUGAACUUGAACCGUAUUAACUGUUCAAUUUAAUAAUUUAUUUAGGAAUAAACAAUUUAAAAUUGUGAUUUAAGGUUUAACGUACCAAAUUUGUCUGUUUUAACUUCAAACUGAUCUAAGGGAUUAUGGAGCUGUCAUGUAAAAUAUUGAAUUAUAUACCAAGGAAAUGAGGUAUAUUAAUAUAAUUAGUGUACAAUUUUUAAUUAAAAAAUUAAAAUAAAAUAUUGACGUCUAAAUAUAAAGAUAUCACCACGGUCCUUAAAAAAUCAUGGUAACGUUGAAUUUGUCUUUUAUAUAUAUAUAUAUAUAUAUAUAUAUAUAUAUAUAUAUAUAUAUAUAUAUAUAUAUAUAUAUAUAUAUAUAUAUAUAUAUAUAUAUAUAUAUAUAUNNNNNUCGUUACUUUUCUCACCAUGCAAAUUCCAACAUGUAUAACUUCGAUCAAUUCCAUGCCUCAUUAGAUGCGAUGUCAACUGAACUGCGUCAACCCGUUUCCCAUAACAACAACCCAAGCAAGGACAUAUCAUUCUACUGGGGUCUUCGGCGUGCGCAACGGCAAACUUAACGAAUUCUGAUACCCCAUUCUCGUACUCUCUCGACAAUCGAUUGGAAGACAUCCAUGUAUUAUCCAUUACUAAUUAGAAUAAAUAAAAAACAAUUUCAGAAGAGUUCAAACACAUUCGGACCUAGGUUUCUAAUGAUACUGGUGUUGACACAAAAUCAGAUGUUCAUAGGUCGUAUAACCCAUUGCAUCCGCAAUCAUGGUCACUAAAAACCAACCGUCAAUUUCCUAGUGCAUCCGCUAUCAUGGUCGAAACAAACGUAGAAGGAGGAAACGCGCAGUAAUAAGGUAAAACAGAAAUUGGGCAAAGCUAAAACAAAGCAAUAACAUAAAACAGUAAUUGGGAAAAGCGUGUACCUUUGAUUGGUAGAAGGAGGAAACGCGCAUGUAGAUCUAACAGAGGUGGAAGGAAAAUGCCUCAGAACCCUAACGUGAAAAAGAACGCUAAUAACAGAUAGUGAAAUAACAAAACGCGCAGUAUGUUAUAAUUUUAAUGUUUACUAAAGGGGACCUUUCCUGCAGCUCUUUCAGCCAUUCUUUGUUCAUGAGAUUCAAGCGUCCCUUGAAGCUCUUCCUUUGUCAGUUUUGAAAAAUCUUUUGACUCUUCUAUGGCUACUACCACGUGGUCGAACUUUGGAGCCAAUGACCUCAAGAUCUUUCCAACAAUAGAUCUUGAUGUAAUUACUUCUCCACAUACCUUCAUUUGAUUCACCAAUUUCAUAACCUUGGUGAAGAAAUCAGUUAUGCUUUCAUUGUCUUCCAUCUGAAGCAAUUCAUACGUUCUUUUGUGAGUUUGUAACCUCACCUGUUUCACCUUCUCUGCGCCUCCAAACGAUUUAUCUAGAAUUUCCCAUGCUUCUUUUGCUGACUUUGCAUCACUAACCUUUUCAAAGUUAUCUGUAUCAACAUAUUGAUGGAUUAUAAAGAGAGCUUUAUAAUCUUUCUUCUUCAAUUCUUUAUGUGUAGCCUUUUCUUGAUCCGUCGCGGCUUCUGCAAGCGUUGCUACUCCUUCCUUCACAAGAUCCCAAAGAUCUUGAUAACAGAACACAACCUUUAUCUGCUUGCACCAAUUCUCAUAAUUGGUGUUCUUGAGAAUCAGAAGAUUUGCUGGAAAAUGCCCGUUUGAAUGAUUCGUUACCAUGGUGAUUUUCUUCCCACGAAACGAUUAAAUCGGAGCUCUUGAUACCAGAUGUUGGAAAUCCCCAAAAAUCUAUGGAGAAUUUCAAUCAAUCUUGAUGGACAAGAUUGUAACUACCCAAACAAUAACAACGAAAAGAGAAGAACAAUGGAGAAAGAAAGAAAGUAAAGAACAAUUAAGGAGAAGAGUAAUAAAAUUCUGCAGAGUUUCUCUCUGCCCACAAACUGUGGAAAACUUUUUAUUCACUUUGCAACUGCAAAAUACUGUGAAUUACAAGUGUUGUGAAUACUCUAAUCACCUCUGUUACAAAAUAAGGGUUACUCCCGCUAUUUAUAUAUUUAGGUUAACUUGGACCUCAAGCCAAGACUCAAAACUAUAAAAGCCCAAAAUAGCUAACACUAUUAAAUAUGUAUAAAUGGUUUGACACUUCCUUAUUUUGUCGAGCAACCAGCUUCGACCCAAGGAAUUACAAUUCAACAAUGCCUUCUUUCUAUAACUGUUACAACAUUAUAAUCAUAGGUUUAAGCUUAGAAAUUGGUAGAAACACAAUUAGUAAGUUGCUCUGAAAUAUUCAAAAAAAGAAAAGGAAAGAAUAUAAUGGAAUGAGAAAAACAUUAAAAACAAAGAAGGUGGUGACUAAAGUUUUUCUUCAACGAUAAGUAGAAUCAUAUUGUGACUCUGAUACCAUAUUCAGAAGUAUGGUUAAGCCCAAAUAAGAGAGAAAUAAAAAUAAAUAAUUAAAUUGUUUAGUAUUUAUGUUGCUUACUUCAAUCACCAUCACUUAAUAUAUUGAUCAUGAUCCAACUUACAAAUCUUAUAACAUUGUAAAGAAUUAAUUAACAAGAACUAUCUAUACAAAAUAAACACUACAAACUAAUUUUAAAACGAUCAAUUCUUUUUUGAGAGGUUUCGUGUUAACAACAACAUUCUGAUCAUGUGAGAGUUGUGUAUUGGGAGGCAAGGUUUAGAUAGGAUAUUAAGAUGAAUGGUUGUAAUUAAGCACAAUUAGAUAGGAUAGGUAAGGAACAAAUUAAAGAUACAUGAACUAGUGGCUGGUUCUAACAGGUCUUCUAUUAAAAUUAAAAGAUGGUAGUACCGAUCUGUUUUCCAAAUACAUGGACCUAGAUGGAAACUUCAUGGAUUGUAACACAAAAUUUGACAUUUAGUAUUGACUUUGUUUGAACUUAGACUUUCAUUGAGCACAUACUACUAUAAAAUUUAUAGUCUUUUUUCUUAGAAUUUAUCUUUUGUUCUGUUUGCAUACUCUACUAAUAUCAAAUCAAGUUAGCUCACCUUAUAAAAAUUGGAUUCAUCUUUUUAUUUGAGUUUUUAUCGAUUUUUGAAAUUCGAGUAUAAAUUGACUUAUCUUAAGUAUUCCUGGUACAAUUCUAAAUUGUUUGAUGUGCUUAAAUAAUAUAAAAAGACUCGUUCACGAUUAGUUUAGUCCAUUAUUUUACCAUUAAUUUUUCUAACAAUCUUAUAGAGGUAAAUAAUGUACGAGACUUUCGUUUCAAUAUAAAGAAUAACUAUUGUGUCAUAGACAUUCUAAACAAGAAACGUCAUUUAAUCAAAUACGUAUUAUUUUUCUUAAAAUUAACACCAAAAUUUUUUAUAAAUCAAGACCAAAUAAAAUUUCUCUAACAAUGAUAUCAGAAUAUAAAUACCCUAUUAUGAUUUUUUUAAUAAAUAUAUUUUAUUAUCAACUUGAUCCAAUUUUUAGAAAAUGAUAUGUAAUUAAAUUGUCUUUUAACAGAUUAUAUACAUAUGAAUGUUAUUGUUGUUAUUUGGUGUUAUAUUCGUUUUGGCUAUUUUGGUGUUAUAUUCGUCUUUGCAUUUUGUUGCUAUGUCUAUUAUUUUGAUGGACAUUUAGUACUUAUAGUCUUUUUUUCAUAUUGACAUACUACUGAUAUCUAAAUCAAGUAGUCCACCUCUAGUAUGUGAGGUUUUAGAUGGAAUACCUCUCUUCAACAAAAUUUCAGAUUUCAUAUUUCACAUUUGAGGAUUUAUCGUCUUUACAUCCGAGUAUAGUAGAUUAUCUUGAGUAAUAUGUUAUCAAAUUCUAAAUAAUUUGAGAGUGCUUAAAAUCUAAAAAGUGAUUUGUUCAUGUUCUAUAUCAGUCCAUUUGUUUUUACAAUUGAUUUUUUCAUAAUCUUAUAGUCGGUAAUAAAUGUACGAGACUUCAGUUUCAAGUAUUAAAAAUAAACUAUUGUGUCAUAGACACAUUCUAAAUCAAGAACAUCAUUCAAAUCCAGGUAGGUAUUAUUUUUCUUAAAAUUAGAACAUUUAAAAUUAUAAUAUCAAGAUUUGAAUAAAUAUUGCUCUAACAAGAAUAUUAGGCAUGAAUACCUAUAUUUAGAUUUUUUAGAUAAUAAAUAUAACUUAUUAUAUGAAUGAUCUUAAAAUUAGGAAAUGAUAGAGUAUUAAAUUUUGGCUUUUACGGAUUAUAUAUAUAUAGUAUAAAAAUAUUAAUAUAUAUAUAUAUUAUUAUUAUAUAUAUUAUUAUAUUUUAUAUAUAUAUCUAUUAUAUAUAUAUGACUAUGUAUAUAUAUUAUAUAUAUGAUGGAUCAGUUGACAUCAGGUACAAUAUUAGGGAUAGUGAUUUGAGAGUUACAUCUGCAUAGAGUGUGCAGUGCAUUGAAUAGCGUUAAGUGUUAAUUAGAGGCUCACACUAGGCCAUGCCAGAUCAGAGUACGCAAGGGAUAGUAUUUAGUGCUCUUCAGAUGGUGUCACUUUGUUCCUCUUUAUUUCUCUCUGCACGCCCUUCUCUCUCUCUCUUCUCUCUCUCUUCUGGUCUCUCUCUCUUUCUCUUCUUUCUCGACUAGCCCAUCUGACAGCUUGUUUCUUAACACUUUCCAAACACCCUCAUUUCAUCAGUGUGUCAUCCAAUGAUGUAACACAACCCGAAAUUUCAUAUAACCGAGAAACCCUAUUUACUAGUACGAUACUUAAUAACCUAACUAAAGUAGACCUACCCAUUUCAACUAUCCAACCCAGUUAUUCCUUAUGAAUUAAAUAAGUGAUACAACCCUAACCCUUUUAGGAACCUGAUCCCCUACUUGAACACCUAAAUAACUUAGUUCCUUCCAAAUCACCAGACAAGGCAUAACCUAGAUCCACAACAUGAAUCGACAGACGCGAACAGAAAAUUCAUACAGAAAUCCCAUCUGAUCUACACCUUCUUAUGGCCUAUACCAAAGACUCACCCAGUCAACCUUAAACAACACACAACUAGAUACACCUUACAAGAAUAAAAAUCAAUCAUGUAUGGUGAAAGAGUAUAACUGACGAAGGAGCUACUCUGUUUAGAAGUAAGUCUUUUUCUGCUUCUCCUUUUUUUUAUAUUCUUUCCUACACCUUUUUCUUUCAUUAACAAUAGCAAUUCAUGACGCGUUCACCUCCGUAUUAAACGUGAUAUAUUCAGGAUGCGCCCGUGUUUUUUUAUAAAAAACUAUAUAUAUAUUACGUCGGUUAUUUUGAAACCGAGGGUAAAUUUCGUUACAUGAUUUAAAUCCCAUCGAUCCGUCUGUUAUAGUUUUAUUCUCUUAAGAAUGGCGACUUAUUGAUUUUAUUUUAAUCUUAAAGUACGUACUUUAUUCUCGGUUUUCUUUCCCAUGAAGUGAUUAAUAUAUUUAUAUAUUAAUAUAUUAUAUUAUAUAUAUCUUACUUUACAUCCAUUUCUCAUUUGUUCUAAACAACAACAACCGUUACGAGAUCCUAAAGGAGAGCAUAACACAUCUAUCUUGAUAUGAUGUAUGUGUUAUGUACUCUCGUUUCUUCUUCAGAGAUCUCAUUCGGUCUUUUAUUUGCUUUAAGACUUGGUACGUCAAAUCUCAUCUACUAUAUUGUUGUUGUUGUUGUUUUGUUGAUUGUUUGGUUUUGUUGUUUCGUUGUUGUGUUUAUGUUGUUGUUGUUGUGUUGUUUUGAUGUGUUGAGAUCUGAACUUAAUUUUUCUUUUUUUGUUUUUUUUUUUUUUUUAUUUUGUUAUUGAUUUGUGUUGAUGUUCUUAGUUGUGAUAUUGUUAACCUGAGCGGUUGUUUAUUACGUUGUUGUUUUAUUGGCGUUAUUAUCUUGAUUUUCUUUUGUGUUGUUGUUGUUUUUUUCUUGUUGUGUUGUUGAUGUUGAUAUUGAUAUUAUGAUUUUUUGAUUUUUCUAACUCUAGUCUGUUCUAUCGAGUUGGCUUAUUAUUAUCUAAUGUCGAUUGUUUAUUUCACUAACCCUUUUUGAUAUAACUUAUAAAUUGAUUUGAUAAUAUUAUAAUGUCAAUUAUUUUGUAUCGGAAAACUUAUCUCUAUACUGCAUUAAUGACUUUCUAGCUUCUACAACUCAUCUUCAUCUCCCUAUUAUUUUAAUAGUUAAAAUUUUAAAUACUUAUAGUUUUCUUUUCAACUUCUUCAUUUGUCCAUUUUCAAAACAACAAAUGUAUUUCAAUUUGUUAUUUAAUUAUCUUGUGUUUAAAGAUUUGUAUUGUGUUAACUAACUAUAGAUAUGGACCUAUGUUUGUGUCAAUAGCCUAAUCAAUGAACUUGAACCGUAUUAACUGGUAUACUUGUAAUUUAUUUAGGAAUAAACCAAUUUAAAAUUGUGAUUUAGGUUUAACGUUACCAUAUUUGUCUAUUUGACUCNNNNNNNNNNNNNNNNNNNNNNNNNCAUAAGUUUCUUAAUUCUUCUGAUUUUCUGGACAAUCACUAGAAUAGUGACCAUACCUUUGACAAUUGUAACACUGAAUGUGACUCUUGUCUGGAUUUUGACCACCACCUCUUCCUUUACCUACAACACCACCUCUUUGGUUGUCUUGGUUCCAGGGUUUUCUCUUAUUUGACCAGUUUCUUUCUUGCUGAUUUCGACCAGUCGAAUUGUUGUAACCUCAUCUGCCUUUAUUUCCAUUCCAGCUACCUUUGUCUUUUCUUUCUUUUGUUGAUUGAGCCUGCAAAGCCGUAUCACUCUUCGACUUUCCUGCAGCUCUUUCAUCCAUUCUUUGUUCAUGAGAUUCAAGCGUCCCUUGAAGCUCUUCCUUUGUCAGUUUUGACAAAUCUUUUGACUUUUUUAUGGUUAUUACCACGUGGUCGAACUUUGGAGCCAAUGACCUCAAGAUCUUUCCAACAACAGAUCUUGAUGUAAACACUUCUCCGCAUACCUUCAUUUGAUUCACCAAUUUCAUAACCUUGGUGAAAAAAUCAGUUAUGCUUUCAUUGUCUUCCAUCUGAAGCAAUUCAUACGUUAUUUUGUGAGUUUGUAACCUCAUAUCUUUCACCUUCUUUCAUUGUCUUCCAUCUGAAGCAAUUCAUACGUUAUUUUGUGAGUUUGUAACCUCAUAUCUUUCACCUUCUUUGCGCCUCCAAACGAUUUCUCCAGAAUUUCCCAUGCUUCUUUUGCUGACUCUGCAUGACUAACCUUUUCAAAGUUAUAUGUAUCAACAUAUUGAUGGAUUAUAAAGAGAGCUUUAUAAUCUUUCUUCUUCAAUUCUUUAUGUGUAGCCUUUUCUUGAUCUGUCGCAGCUUCUGCAAGCGUUACUACUCCUUCCUUCACAAGAUCCCAAAGAUCUUGAUAACAGAACACAACCUUUAUCUGCUUGCACCAAUUCUCAUAAUUGGUGUUCUUGAGAAUUAGAAGAUUUGCUGGAAAAUACCCAUUUGGAUGAUUCGUUGCCAUGGUGAUUUUCUCCCCACGAAUCGAUUAAAUCGGAGCUCUUGAUACCAGAUGUUGGAAAUCCCCAAAAACCUAUGGAGAAUUUCAAUCAAUCUUGAUGAACAAGAUUGUAACUACCCACACAAUAACAACGAAAAAAGAAGAACAAUAGAGAGAAAAAGAAAGUAAAGAAAAUGAUAUAGUAAUUAAAUUUUGUCUUUUAACAGAAUUAUAUACAUAUGAAAUGUAUUGUUGUUAUUUGGUGUUAUAUUCGUUUUGGCUAUUACUUGGUGUUGUAUUCGUUUUGACAUUUUGUUAUUGCUAUGUCCUAAUUAUUUUGAUGGACAUUGUUACGUACAUUAUAGUCUUUUUUUCAUAUUGACCAUACUACUCAAUACUAAAUCAAAGUUAGUCCACCUCUAGUAUGUGAGGGUUUUAGCAUGGAAUAUACCUUCUUCAUACAAAAUUUCAGGAUUUCAUAUUUCCUACAUUUGAGUAUUUAUCGGUCUUUACAAUCUCGAGUAUAAGCAGAAUUAUCUUGAGUAUUUAUGUGCACAAAUUCUAAAAUAAUUUGAGAGUGCUUAAAAUACUAUAAAAAAGUGAUUUGUUCAUGAUUCUAGUAUCAGUCCAUUUGUUUUACAAUUGAUUUUUCUAAUAAUCUUAUAGUGGGUAAAAUAAUUGUAACGAGACUUCAGUUUCAAGUAUUAAAAAAUAAACUAUUGUGUCAUAGACACAUUCUAAAUACAAGAAUCAUCAUUCAAAAUCCAGGUAGGUAUUAUUUUUCAUAAAAUUAGAACAUUGUAAAAAUUAUAAUAUCAAUAUUCUGAAUAAAAUUUCUCUAACAAAUGAUAUUAGAGCAUGAAUACCUAUAUUAUGAUUUUUUGAUAAUAAAUAUAUACUUUAUUAUAUGAAAUUGAUCUUAAAAAUUUAGGAAAUGAUAGAGUAAUUAAAUUUUGUCCUUCUGUAACGGGAAUUAUAUAUAUAUGAUUAGUAUAUACUAUAUAAAUAUAUAUAUAUAAUAUUAGUAUUAUAUAUAUUAAUAUAUAUUAUAUAAUAUAUAUAUAUAUAUAUUACUAUAUAGCUGAUAUAAUAAGUCAUUACCUCUAUAUAUUAGGAUAUAUUAGGAUAGCAUAUAUAUAAUACCAUUAUAUCAUGUGGAUAGCUUAUCUCAACACGGUGCAACAUGAUUAGAGAUGUCGCUUGAGGGUACAUCUGCACGAGAGUGUGCGCAAUGUGCAUUGAAAUAGGUUAAAGUAUGAAAAUUAGCAGAGCUCGAUACCACAUGCGCGCAGGAUCAGAGGUCACGCAAGGGAAGUAUUUAAGUGAACUCUCUCCAGAGUUCACUUGUUCCGUCCUCUUAUUUCUCUCUGCACCUCUUCUCUCUCUCUCUCUCUCUCUCUUCCCUCCUCGCUCUCCGUCUCUCUCCUCGUCUCUUCGCUCUCUCUCUCUCCCUAGCUAGCCCAUCCUGAGCCACCAGUGGUUUUUCCUAAACCACCUUCCCAAACCACCUCAUUCAUACAGUUCCAUCCAAUGAUGAACACCAAAACCCGAAUCUCAUAUAACACAGAGAAACCUAUACUCUAAGUACGGCAUAACCUUAAUAACCCAGACCCCUAAGAUGAACCUAACCCAAUUUCAACUAUCCAAACCCAGAUUCCUUAUGAACUCUAACAACAUUGAUACGAACGCCUAACCCCUUUAGGAACCCUGACCUAACCUUGAACCAACCUAAAAAUAAUUAAGGUAAGUUCCUUCCAAAUACACCCAGAACAAGCAUCAAACCCUAGAUCCAAACAACAUGAACAUCGAUCAAAACAUCGAACAGAAAAUUCAACUAGAAAAUUCCCAAUCCUAGAAUCUAACCACUCUUAUGCCUAAACCUAAACAUCAAACCUUAAACAACAAACACAACACGAAUCAACACUCUUCACAAGAAUAAAAAAUAACACAUCAUGUAUGGUGAAAAGGAAGUACUAACCUACGAAGAUGAGACCUUCACCUGUUUAGAAAGGUAAAGUCUUUCUUCUUCUCCUUCUUCUUUAAUUUCUUUCCUACACCUUUUUCUUCACUACUACAAAUAAUACUUCAUGACGACGAUUUCACCUCACUGUAUUAAAAACCAGAUAUAAUUCCAGGAUGCGCCCUGUUUUUUUAUAUAAAAUAUAUAAUAUAUACGUCGGUUAUUUUGAAACACCGAGGUAAAACAUAUUCAGUUAUCAUGAUUAAAAUCCCAAUCAUCCUCCUGUUUAUAGUUAUCUCAAUUAAGUGGCGACUUAUUGAAUAUUUUAUUGUUAAUGCUAAAAGUACGCUACUUUUCAUCUCGGUUUUUCUUUCCGACUGAAGUGAAUAUAAUAUAUAUAUAGAUUAUAUAGUAUAUAUAUAUAUAGUAUAAUAUAUUAUAUUAUAUAUAUAUAUAUUAUAUAUAUAUAUAUUAUAUAUAAUAUAUAUAAUAUAAUAUAUUAUACUAGUAUAUAUAUGUAUAUAUAUAUACUUAAUAUUAUUUCCCUUGUAUCCAAUUUCUUUGUCUAAACAACAUAAACAAAACCUUAACGAGAUCCUAAACAAUGAGAGCCAUAAACACAUACCAUCUUGAUAUGAGAUGUUAUGUGUUUAGUACUCUGUUUCUUCUUCAGAGAUCCAAAUCAUUUCCUUUUAUUUUCUUCAGAGUCUGGUACGUCAAAUAUCACUACUAAUAUUGUUGUUGUUGUUGUUAUUGUUGUUGUUUUGGUUGUUGUUGUUGUUGUCGUUGUUGUUGUUUAUGUUGUUGUUGUUGUGUGUUGUUUGAUGUUGUUGAGAUCUGAAACUUUAGAAUUUUCUUGUUAUUUGUUUUUGUAUUGAUUUGUUUGUUUGAUGUUCUUAUUGUUGAAUAUUGUAAACCCUAGAGGUUGUUUUUGACGUUGUUUGUUAUUGGCGUUAUUACUGUUGAUAUUCUUGUUGUUGUUGUUGUUGUUUUUUUUCUUGUUUUGUUGUUGUUGAUGUUGAUAUUGAUAUUAUGUUUUUUAGAUUCUUUCUACAACUCUCAUCUUGUUCUAUCGAGUUGAGCUUAUUAUAUCUAAUGUCGAUUGUUUAUUUCACUAACCCCUUUUUGAACAUAUAACCUAAUAAAUUGAUUUUGUAAUAAUCAUAUGCAAAAUUAUAUGUAUCGGAAACUUAUCUUAUACUGAUUAAUGACUUUCUAGCAUUCUACAAACUCAUCAUUCAUCUCUCUAUUAUUUUAUAGUUAAAAUCUUUACAUAUAGCUUAAUCAGUUUGUCUUCAAGCUGUUCUUUCAUAUUUGUCCAUUUUUCAAAACAACAAAUUGAUAUUUCAAUAUUGUUAUUUAAUUAAUCUUGUGUUUAAAGAUUUGUAUGUGUUAACUAACUCAUAGAAUGAACCUAUGUUUGUAGGGAUCAAUGACCCUAAAUCAAUGAACUUGAACCGUAUUAACUGUUCAACUUAGUAAUUUAUUUAGGAAUAAACAAUUUAAAAUUGUGAUUUAAGGUUUAACGUACCAUAUUUGUCUAUUUUAACUUCAAACUUAUCUAAGAGAUUAUGGAGCUGUCGUGUAAAAUAGUGAGUUAUAUACUAAGAAAAUGAGUUUUAUUAAUAUAAUUAAUGUACAAUUUUUAAUUAAAAAUUAAAAUAAAAUAUUGACGUCUAAAUUUAGAGAUAUGACCACGGUCUUUCAAAAAACCGUGAUAACAUUGAAUUUGUUGUAUAUAUUUUUUUGUAGCAGUGACUUCUUUACUACGAACCACCAACUAUGAUAAAACUUUUUUCACAACCAGUGUGAUAUAUUUUUUUUACCACACUAAAAUCAAAAUGAAUAUUUUUUACCACACUCUAAAUCUCCGUAGCAAGAUUACAAUUUGACCACUGUUUUGUAAAUUGUUGCUAAUCUGAUUUGCUACAAUUUUAGUAAAUAUAAGUAAUAUAUGGUAUUAAUUGUAUUUUCCACGAUGUUUAUGCCAAUAUCUUAAAACAAUAUUAUAAUAUGAGAUGGAUAAUAUUAUGAACAGAUGAAAGAUUACCACAAAAUCUCAAAUGCAUAAACUUUAUUUAUUUGUAAAUAGGAGAACAAAACACAACUUUCUCUCAUGAUUUAUAUUCAUUCCACAUGUAUAAUGCUCUCCUAUCAUGGUAAACUGAUACAAAAUAAAAAUAGAUAUAAAACGAAGGGAUUAAACCCAUAAGUACGUAGGCAAAGUCAAGCAUGGUAACUAAUUGCUAAAUAGCACCACUUAUUUAAUAAAAUAUAUAUUAAUAUGCUUUGUUGGACGCAUGAUUUAGAUAUGAAUUUUAUCUGCUGGAAUUUUUCUAUGAUAUGGUGGCUUAGAAUCAGUUGGUAGUUUGUAAGGACGGGGUGAAGAUGCAUAAAGUGGAUCAAUUUUAUUAUCAGUUGGUGAUGGAUGAGGAGGAGUAAAAUGAUGAAAAAUAUGAUGAAGAUGAGGAGGAAGAUGAUGAAAUAUAGGUGGAAAAGAAACAGAAAGUCCAUGAGGAACAAGGAUAAGGGAAGCAAGGAACAACACUUGUAAGGAUUGAUAAAAGGAGGCCAUAUUUGAAGUUGUGAUUUGUGUGUGCAUAACAUAUAUGGGAUAACCAAGUUUUAUACUAAUCAAGUGCAUAACACUCUUAGGUCUCCAUUGGAUUUUUCUGUGUUGAUUAUUCAAAAAUGUACCACUAUUAUGGCCCAUCGGAUUGUUACAAGUUAUCACUCUAACCAUAAAUGACGACAUGGUUUUAAAACUGUAUAAUUGCUACGGAAGUUAAUUGACUAGCUUAUUAUUUGUGUCCAUUACUUUCUAUUCCAUCGUUUGGUAUCAACUCUAUCUUUCUUGUCCCUAUGCCACUCAAAAAUAAUUUCUUUUUCAUAUUUAUAACAAGUAAGUUGUAUACUUUUUUGAUAAGAACACAAAUUCAGAUAAGUCAUGACAAUACAAUAUCAUAAUUUUCAAAAUAGUUUUUAAAUUUGAGAGGGGAAGUGUGAUUUUUUUGUCUCUUUUAAUUUUUAAUUUUUUUAACUCUCCCCACAAAAUGCCAUUGUUUUGACGAGUUAAAAAUAUAUAUAAAAUGAUCAAUUAGUUGAUUCAAAAAAUUCACCGGUUAAAUGGUUGGACCGGUGAACCGGUUGAGUCACACCGAUUUUCACCAACUAGGGUCCUAUGAAUUUACCGAACUACUUUAUCCUUUGGUUCUCGAUCUAACAUGUUGUUACAUUUGAUAUGAGUCAUUUUAAUAGGCCGCAUUUAAAGCAAGAUGUUAUGACAUUGUUUGAGACAUUUUGUCUCUAUGAGAUCAAAUCAGGAGGCAACAUGUGUAACAUGUGUAGCAAGAUGUUCCACAGAUUGUGAGACAUUCUGCCUCAUCCAGAAGUCAAUCAUCAUAAAGUAAAUCUCGUGCCUUAUGAAUGUUUGUUUCCAUUCUUGUUCAAUCUUGCUUAUUUGUUUCAUGUACUUUUUGGAAUAUGGAAUUUUUCCCAAAAGAUCAAUUUCCAGGAAUUAAAAAGAAAAAAUAUGAUUGUUGAAGAUUUAUCAAAUCAAAGAUUACAAAUCAACUUAAUGAAGAAUAGAUUCUUACAGUUAUGGAUUUGCUUCAGCCACACGAAAUGAUAUUGUCGUAUCUCAAAAAAUGUGAUCCUUCCCGAUGGUCGCGGAAAAAAAAUGAUUUGAACAGAGUCGUCACCGAACUUUAUUUAUUCCAUUGAAGGAAAUGUAAAAUAUCGAUAAAACCCUUAAAAACAGAAAAUGGUCGUCGCAACCAAAUUCAGGUCCGGGAGACGAUUACACAAGGGGAAGAUAUUAGCACCCCUCAUGUCUGUUAUACUCAACGAGAACCUUUUAGUUAAACUUGCGAUUGAAUGUUAGCUAAUUUUAAUUGUUUUCUUCUAAUGGUAAAAAGUUUUAAAAGAAAAAGAAACGAAACCGCAAAAAGUUUUUUCCUAAUGGGUCUCACAAGAUUGCGGGUCUUGCUUCUACGUAUCUCUAGGUGCGAUGGGGAGCUCAAUUCUAUGUAGGUCUGGGUAACACAGAAGAUAUUUUUGGUAUUUUUUGGUUAUAGUGCUUGAUGAGACGAUGAAUCUCGCUCCUACGUAUCUCUAGGUGCGUUGAGAACUCAAAGCUACGUAGUUCUUUGUAGAAAAUGAGUUUUGCUUGAUUGAUUUUAAUGAACAAGUGUUUAGGUCGCAUUCUGACGGUUAAACAUUGGCUUGCUUGCUCGUGGGGGAGGAUUUACACUACUAGAAAAUUCGCUUAUAGUGACUGAUUUAGUGACUAAAAAAUUUCGGUAACUUUAGCCACUGAAUUAGCCACCAAACUUUGACAUCAUGUUAGUAAAAAUUUUUAAGUCGCUAAAUCGAUCACCAAAUAAAAUUAGCCAACGAAUUAUUGACUGAAAUUUUGUGACCAUAAUAUUCAAUGAUCGAAAUUUCGGUCACUAAUAAUUUUGGUGGUUUUCUUUUUUAGUUACUAUUUAUCUCCCAAUUCUCUCAAUUUUUAAAUAUUUUAUGUUUAUCCUAAUUUUUAGGCUUUAGUCAAACUUUCAAUUUUUGUUCUUAUAACAUAUAAACAUAUAUUUUAUAUAAAAAAAUUGAUGAACAAAAUUUAUUAAUUUAAUAAGAAAAUGUAAUUUAAAUGACAUUAUAAUAAUUUAAAUAUAUUCUAAUAAUAUAGACGAGUUUAAAUAUGAAAUUGACAAUUGUUGUGAUGUGUCCCAUGUAGCAUGGUAUUCUAUAACCCAAGGGUGUGAGUUUGAUACUUGCAUGAGACAAUUAUUUUUAUUUAACUUUUAAUUUCUUUAACACACUAAAAUGGUUGUUUAAAUCGGUUCACUAUAUUUUCGAUCACUGAAAAUGGUGUUAUAAUGAUUGAUUUUUAAGCUAUUUCGGUCUCUAAUUCAGUCACUAAAUACCAAAUUUUUAGUAGUGUAAGCUCUAGUUUGUAUUCGCAUUAGAAGGGACUAAACAAUGUUCUUUCUAAAAAGGAUUUCAAUCACACAAGGGCGAGAAAAGAUUGGUUUGAUUGGUUUCGACCGCACAGAGGCGAGUAAAGAUAGGUUUGAUGUGUUGAAUAUUUUUUAGAAGGGGACGAAGAAUGUUCGAGGAAUAUGGAGCGCCCCAAUUAUUUGAUUAUUCGAGGGAUAGUGAGGCGAGCGCCCCUAUUCCUAUUUCGUCCAAUUUGAUAUUUGAAUUUUUUUUUACGGAAGUCGAAUAUUCGCGGUAGUGAGGCGAGCGCCUCCCACUUGCUUAUUCGAGGAAUAAUGAGGUGUGUGUCACCUAUUCCUUUAUCCAAUUGUGAUGGGGCGCGUAGCUUUUAUUGGAAAGAGAGGAUUCCUAGUCACGUGAAAAUGGAUAGCAUAUCCUUCAACUUUUGCUUCCAUCAUUUUCUUUUCUUUUACUUAUACUUUUAUUCUUUUGAAUUUUUUGAUUGGUGGAUAUAAAAACACAUGGAUAGCCAAGUUUGGACCAUUGAUCAAAAUCAAUUUAACAACUAGGAUUAAAAUAAAGAAACACAAAUUAUCAAUCAAUUUAAAAUGACUAACUUGUCCCUUCUAGAUUCUUAAUGAGAUUAGAAUGAAAUUAAUUCAAUUAAGAUAAACAAAAUUCACACACUUUAAAAUAAACGUUAUAAAGUAAAAAUAAAAGGACUUUAAAUGAAUAAAAAAUGCGCUUAAAAAUGCUCGAAAAAUUAAAAUGAAUGCACUAAAAUGACCAGUACAAAAUAAACUUCUGGAAAAUUGACAGGUUUUGUUGUCAAACUUUUAGUAAAAAACGACCUGUCCCGCGGUGGAAAGCGUCCCAGGCUGAUUAAAAUACCAUCGCAAAAGAAGCAGAACAAUUAAACGAGCACGCCAGGUUAAACUACGCAAAUCGUAGAUCAAUAAAACUGACGUCUGUAAGCCCGACCUUUAAAUUUUAUGCCCGCUAAUUUUACGUAUAUUUGAAAAUUGAUUCAACUGGUCUUUCUGUAUAUCUGAAAAUUUAUUCUGGCAAAUAUUUUAGGAAUUAUGCAUGAUGAAAGACAUGUUAUCUUAUGUAGAUGAUGCAAAGUGAAGAAAAGUCGGAUAUAUGAAAGUUUUAAAAUUCUCAGAGAAAAUUGAGGUAUGACAGAUACAUACCCUAAUAGGCUAGCAACUAGAUUUUGUUUCUAUUUAAGAAGGAUCCCUCUAUGUAAAGACUUAAAACUUGAGAAACAAGCAAGACGUGUUUUAGCUGUGCGGUUCCUUUUGUUUUGGUUUUAUGUUUUGUAUUGUUAAACUCUAUUCACUAGUCACAUUCCAAUAUAGAAGAAUAGAGUUUAUUUUGAGUUGUAAUUAAUUUCAUCAUUCAUAAAAUAUUGUAAUUGUUCAAACACUUGGGAGAGUGCUUGAGAAAAAGUGAGAGGGGUUUUGCAUUCAGGUGCUGAAUAAGAUUUCAUGGCUAGUACUUAAGAACAAGAGGUGUUUGCAAACUAUAAGGCGGUCAACCUAUACCAUUUGUACGUUUACUAUUAAGAGUGGAUUUUCUCUCUUAGGUUAACGCCCUCUAGACGUAUGUGACUUUGCACUGAAGUGCAUUAAUAAUUCCUCGUGUCCAUUUACUUGCAUUCUUAUUUUAUUUGUUAUUGCAUUAAUCUUAUCAUACACAUUGUCCCAGACAUUGUGUCUUCCAUAUUUCCAUUAGACGAACAAAACAUCAAUUGGCAUCAGAGCAAGCACCCUAUUCUGGUGAAGUGAGCUCUAGGGAUAUACACAUUUUCUUCAAAAUUGACAAUGCUAAGGAAGAAGGAUUUGUGAAUCGUCCACCUAUCUUAUAUGGAACGAAAUAUGAUUAUUGGAAAUCCUGCAUGGUUUCCUUUCUCAAAUAUAGUGAUAACAAAACAUGGAAGGAAGUAAUCCAAGGAUGGACACCCCCAAAUGGUUACUACACAAGAUGGAACAAAACCCAUGAAGCCAAAGAAGAUUAUUCUAAAGAAGAAGGUGAAGAAUGAAAUGGUAAUUUUUGAGCUCUCAACGCCAUAUUCAAUAGAGUUGACAAAAAUAGCUUUAGACUCAUGUAAUACCCCAAAAUUUACCCUCCAUUUUUCCUGGAGGCAUGGGAUUAUGUUUUACACUUCAUUAGCAUCAUAUUAGGUCAUACUCAUUGCAUACUGCAUUAGUGACAUGGAGAUCAGGUUUUGAUCGAUCACUCCUUAACAGAAUGAUUCGAACAGAGUCGUCACCGAACUUAUUUAUUCCAUUGAAGAAAAUUGUAAAAUAUCGAUAAAACCCUUAAAAACAGAAAAUGGUCGUCGUAACCAAAUUCAGGUUCGGGAGUCGAUUACAGCAAGGGAAGAUAUUAGCACCCUCAUGUCUAUUAUAUCAACGAGAAUCUUUAGUUAAACUUGCGAUUGAAUGUUAGCUAGUGUUAAUUGUUUUCUUCGAGUGGUAACAAGUUUAAAAAGAAACAGAAAGGAAACCACAAUUUUUUAUUAAUGGACCUGACAAGAUUGCGGGUCUUGCCCCUACGUAUCUCCAGAUGCGAGGAAAACUCAAGGCUACAAGUUCUAGACAAGACAAAAGUUAAUUUUGGUGUUUUUAGUUAUAGUUCUUAACGAGACGAUAAUCUCGCUCAUACGUAUCUCUAGGUGCGAGAAACUCAAACUACGUAUGUCUUGGUAGCAAAUGAGUUUUGUCUGAUUGAUUUAAUGUACAAGUUGUUAGGUGCAUUCUAACGGUUAAACAUUGGCUUGUUUGCUCGGUCGGGGAGACUUAAGCGCUAGUUAUAUUUCACAUUAGGAGAGAAUAAACAAUAUCCUUUUGAAAAGGAUUUCGAUCGCACGAGGGCAAAAACAUAUGUUUGAUAGGUUUCGAUCGCAUGGAGUGAGAAAAGAUAGGUUCUGAUGUAUUGAAUAUUUUUUAAGGGACGACGAAAAGUUCGAGAAUAUGCGCGACCCCAAUCGUUUGAUUAUUUGAGGGAUAGUGAGGCAGGUUCCCUCCAUUCCUUUUUUGUUCAAUUUGAUAUAUAUAUUUUUUACAGAAGUCGAAUAUUCUCCGUAGUGAGGCGAACGCCUCCCACUUGAUUAUUCGAAGAAUAAUGAGACGUGUGUCACAUAUUCCUUUAUCCAAGUUUAUUUAGAGUGUUUUAAUCGGAAGACAAAAAUUCGAGCAAUAUGGCGAACGCCUCCCAUACCCUUUUUCAUCUGAAGUUUAAUUAAGAAAAAGAUUUAACCGCUUCUAGUAAGUGGAAAAGAAACUUGAUGUUGAUCGAUUGUUUGUCGCGUUAGUGGAACCUGAUUUGUGAAAUGGUUUGAGAUUGGUUUUUUAAAAAAGUUUGAAAACAUCAUUUCUUCCAUAAACGAAACUCGAGAACAUCAUUUUUUUCAUAAACAAAUUUCAUAACUCCAUCACAUAUUCUCCAACUUGAAUGAGACAAGGAAAACAUGGAUUCAACUUAGCAAUGUUAGUUAUUGUUGUUGUUCUUGUCGUUGUUAUUGUUGUUCUUCUUGUUGUUGUUAUCAUUGUGGUUCUUAUUCUUAAUAAUCUUGUUGUAGUUCUUGUUAUUCUAGUUUUUUCUCUUGUUGCUUUUGUCAUUGUCGUUGUUGUUAUUGUUGUUGUUGUUGUUCUACUACUAUAUUUUAUUUUAUUAAAAGACAUACAUCAAUAGUUGUUUAAAGUAACUAUUAUGGUAGGUUAAGACAUACAACAACGGUUGUUUAAAGCAACAACAAUUGUGAUAGGUUGCAUACCACUUGACUUAUAAUCACAGUCGCACGACUGUCGUGAAAAUAAUCAUACAUACAAUCACAUCUUACCUCACAAUAGUUGAUCAAAUGUGAUGAUAUCCAUUUUCCAACUGUUAUGAGAGGUGUUUUCCAUAGUAGUGAUCUAGGAUACUCGCUAAGCGAGUUAGAAACUGCUUAGCCAGAGUCUCGUUAUAAAACAUUGGGAACAGAUAUCAGAAUAUAAUUCACUCUUAAUAAAACACUCCCACACAUUUUUCACUCUAUCCAUUUGUGAAAUAAAUCCUAGAAAGGAAUGAGAAGUUCUCUCACACUACUUAAUUUCAAGAAAACAUCACUAAAUCAACUCUUCCUCCUUUAGUUUUAGAGUAACUCACGUAAGUUAAUCAAUUACAAAUCUCUACAUUGCUUUUCUCUACAUACAAAAAAGAACAAUGAUUCAUAUCAUUAUUAUUUUCUUAACUUAGAAAUCAAAUAGGGAUAACAUGAUAGAACAAAUUGAUUGUUGUUAUUUUCAUGUUGAGAAAUAAUAUAUGCCUGUUGGAAAUCCCCUAAAAUCUAUGGAGAAUUUUAAUCAAUCUUGAUGAACAAGAUUGUAACUACCCACACAAUAACAACGACAAGAGAAGAACAAUGGAGAAGUAAAGAAAGUAAAGAACGAUGAAGGAGAAGAGUAAUAAAAUUAUGCAGAGUUUCUCUCUACCCACAAACUGUCGAAAACUUCUUAUUCACUUUGCAACUGCAAAAUACUGUGAAUUACAAGUGUUGUGAAUACUCUAUUCACCUCUAUUACAAAAUAAGGGUUACUUCCUCUAUUUAUAGAUUUAGGUUAACUUGGACCUCAAGCCAAGGCCCAAAAAUAUAAAAGCACAAAACUAUAAAAGCCCAAAAUAACUAACACUACUAAAUAGGUAUAGGUGGUUUGACACUUCCUUACUCUGUCGAACAACCUGCUUCGACACAAGGAAUUAUAAUUCAACACACCACCUAAUUCAUUGUGUCUAAGCUAUCUACAUUCAUCAUAGCUCUUAGUCUUCUGAACACUUUGAUAUGUACUCCCUUUGUCAUGACGUCUGCAAUCUGAUUCUCAGUUCUGCAGUGUUCCACAUUGAUCUUCCCAUCUGCUACCUGCUCUCGAAGAUAAUGGAACCUCAUUUUGAUGUGCUUGCUUCGACCAUGUGCUAUCGGAUUCUUCGCCAUAUUGAUAUCUGACAUACUGUCGAUCUUCAUGGUAAUUUCUUCACGACUCUUCAUUGUUAUCUCUUCGACCGGAUUCACCAUCCAUGUUGCUUGACAUGCACAAAGAGAAGCAGCUAUGUAUUCUGCUUCGCACGACGAUAAUGCCACUACUGGCUCUUUUCUCGAACUCCAAGCAACUGGUGCACCAUCUAGCGUAAACACAUAGCCAGUUAUUGAUUUUCGAUCCUCAAUAUCACUACACCAACUUGAGUCAGUGUAUCCCACUAAUUUGCAUUCUUUUCCUUCACCAUCUACAGGAAACAAAAUGCCAUAGUCGAGAGUUCCUUUCAGAUACCUUAGUAUCCUCUUCGCUGCUGCUAGAUGUGAUACCUUUGACUUCUUCAUGAACCUACUCACCAUACCUACACUGUAUGCUAAGUCAAGCCUUGUGUGACAAAGGUAUCAAGGUGACCCAAUAAGUCUUUUGUGUUGGGUUGGAUCGACAUCAUCUUCAUCUGAAUCUUUCGACAGUUGUAAUCUGGGCUCAGCUGGAGUCCGAAGUUGGGUUGGCAAUCUGCAUCUCAUUUCUUUGAGAAUUUCUCCUACAUACCUUCUUUGAUGCAUCAUCAAACCUCUACCACUCUUGUAGAAUUCGAUGCCAAGGAAAUAUGAAAUGUCACCAGAAUCUGACAUUUCAAAUUCCUUGUUGAGAUCAGCUUUGAAGUCUUCAAUCUCCUUCUUGCAACUACCUGUUAUCAACAGGUCAUCAACAUAGAGGCAUAGUAUAAGCAAUUCAUGUUGGUGUAAGCCCUAGAGGCCAUACUUUUGGUACUUGUAUCGAAUUAUUUAUUAAUAAUAAAAGGCAUUUUCUUUAUUAUGGUUGAUUAAUAAAGUCCUAGAAUAGAUAGUCCGUUUAAUGUAUUAAGUGUGACUUAAUCAUGAGAACACUUAAACAUAAGGGCAUGUUCUUAAAGUAUCCGUAGUCGAGCUUUAAUGUGAAGUGGGUAAACAUUAAAGCAUUAAGACUAUUAUGUUUGUUAGACUGAUGAUCACAUCUCAUGGAUAUGGAUAAAGAGUUAUCAAGUCUUAAACAUAGGUAUGAAUAUUAGGAGUAAUAUUUUAUACCGGAUUGACCCGCUAUGAGAAUACUAUAUAGAAAGUUAUGCAAGUGUCAUAAGUUUAUUCUCAUGGUGAUAAUAGUGUAUACCACUCUUCGACCUGAAACCACUAUGGAUCCUAGAUGUAGAGUCGAGUGCUUUAUUGGCUGGAUCCAACGUUGUCCGUAACUGGAUAACCAUAAAGAUAGUUGAUGGGUACUCCACGAAGCAUGCUGAGGGACAUGAGUGUUCCUAGAUGGAAUUUGCCAAUCCUGCGUAACAGGAUAAAUGUCUAUGGGCCCAAUAUUGAAACUGGACAAGGGUGACACGGUCUAUACCUUAUGUCAAUAUAGACAUAAGGGGCAAAGGGGUAAUUAUACACAUAAUUAUUAUCACAAGAGGUUUUGUCCAGAUCACAUGACAAUUUGUGACUUGGGUAGCAGUGAUGUGUUGCUAGAUACCGCUCACUAUUUAUUAUGUUAAAUGCGUGAUUUAAUAUAAUUGCAAACGUCGCGAAAAACCUAUAGGUCACACACAAAGGACGGAUUGAUGAGAAAUUAGAAGUAACUAAUGAACCCGUAAGGUAUGGUGCACUUAAGUGGAAACGAAUAUGGUAAGGUACCGAAUACUUAAGUGAUUUUGACUAUUAUGAGAUAUGGGCAAAUAUACACUUAAGUGGGCUUUUUAGCUUGAAGCCCACACAAGUGGUUCUAUAAAUAGACCCUUGGGUAGAAAGCAUUGUCACUCCACUCAAGACUGAAAUUCCAAUGUAGAGACUUGGAAUUUUGUUUCCCUUCUUUCUCUCACUCAAAACACCUUCAUUCAUAACAGCUAAAGCACUGCGAUUGAGGAACCGUUCGUGUGGACUGAGUAGAGGACGUUGUCGUCGUUCAACGUUUCGUACGCCCCUGGAUCUGUAUCAAAGGUUUUUGAUCAUUAUCAGAGAUCUGCACCAAAAGGUUGAUCGCCACAAGAGGUAACGAUUCUAUCAGCUGAUCCUGCCCAUUCGUAAGGAUCACUUAAAUGGAGAAAUUUUAAAUUCCGCUGCGCUUGGAAUGGCAAUUCUCCUUCAGUGGUAUCAGAGCCACUUACGAAACCAUGAAUCUGAUAACUUUUUUGUUCUGUAAUAAUAUGAAUUAAAGACAGAACAUGAAUCAAGGUUAAAAAUUGAGAUCGAUCAAAGUUCCAUAUUGUGAUAUAUUGUAAAUCCCUGAUUGCAAAAUACAUUAUAUAUGAUAUAGUGUUCUCGUUUCCGUUCAUUCAAACACUCAAGUGAUUGUUUCCUUGAGCGAUCAAUGGUCAUUUGUCUUCUUGACACGACAUUAAGUAUGGUGAAGCCAUGACGUGUUGAUCAUCAUACUGAAUUAACAAUGCGAUAAUUGUUUCGACGGUCUGAAAUGGGUGCAUCAGGGUUAGUGACGGCACAAGGUGUGUGUUUCGUCAGAGAGUUAUGCGCGAUUGGGGUUGAACUGCACAAGAGUUGUGCGUCCCAAAACACUUUUCCCGAACAGUGUUAACCGGUUAACGCGUAUGGUUUACCGGUAACGCAAUGCGAAAUAAAAAUUUUGAGUUUUCAAAACGUGUUAACCGGUUAAACGCUUUUGGUUAACCGGUUAACGCAAGACGAAAUCAGUUUUUUCUGAGUUUGUUCAAACAGUGUUAACCGGUUAACACAUUUUGGUUAACCGGUUAACGCAAGGAGAAAAGAAUUUUCUAAGUUUUCAAACAGGUGUUAACCGUUAACGUAUAUGGUUAACCGGAUUAACACAAGGAAAAUUCACCCGUGUCGGCUAGAAAAAGUGCUUUGAAAGUACAAGUUGUUGGUAGGCGAAAAACGACGUCAAUUUUUAAAAUGAAUUUCAUAUAAAAUUUUCAGAGUUGACUCUGCGUGUGUGAUCGGGCGUCGAAAAUUUAAUUUGAUUUUAUUAAAUAAUAAUAAUGAUGUUUAUUAUGUCUUGUGGUGAUCGUUAUGGCCUUAGUUUUCCUUUCGUUUUAGUUUUGGUUUUUUUUAAAAUACGAACCUGCGUGGUCGUGCCCCUUCUUAAUCUCCCAAAAAAAUGUAAUCUUCUUUUUCUCAUCUCACUCCGUCAUAUGUAAAACGAGUUUCUUCUCAUGUAAUUUGAGAUAUGAAGAAAGCAAAGAAGGUUCCAGUGCCAAAGGAGGACCACUUGGAAGAUCAUUGCUUGGCAGCAGAUCUAAGGUUAACUUAGGUUCCUGCUCAUUGGCUGGGAGAACAAUUGCGCUAGGGGCCAUAACUUGUUUCAUUUUGUUUUUUGUAUGUUGAUGCAUGUGAAUGUAUGUUGAUGCAAUGUGAGAGACGGUUUCAUAUGAUAAACAGCCGUGAGAAUCAGAAAAAAUUGCAUAUCCCUCAAAUUAAAUAUUAACGUUUAUGUUUCCAAAUUUAACACUCCAUCAGACUAGUAAUGGAUAAUGUAGGUUUCGCCUACGCGAGGUGCAUGAUCCUAUAUAUUAGUAAGGUGCGAUGGAUAAAUUGUAAAUAUCCAACUGUUAAAACAAUGGGUCAAACUUACUAAACAAACUUAAAUAAGAUUAUAUAUGUUUAGAAAGCAAGAGUUGGGAAAUAAUCCAUAUGAUGGAUUGGAAUAAGGAAGUUUAUUUCACCCAAUUGAAAUUUCGAGAGUUGUAUGAGAUACAUUGGAAGGAGUUCCUCCGUAACUAACCUAGUUUUUGUGUAAUCCGCCUACGCGGAACUUAGAACUGAAGUGAAAAUCAUGGAUCUCGACCCACUAGAAAAAUCUUCCACACGGGAUUUCCGAAUCAAUAUGAAUGAGGGUCAUUUGUUUUGAGUAAAAAUAGUGGGAGCAUGUUUAUAUAAAGGCCUAAUAAAUAUGUCAAUGGAUACUUAUAUUUUCAUUAAUCCUUGUGUAGAUUACCAUGACAGACAAACACCUCUUAACAACAUCUUGCGAUCAAAUCCUUGAUAAGGAAAAAAUUGUCUGGGACAAAUUGUUGGAUUGGCACCGAAACCUGAGGAUUGUCGCUAAUAACAUGAAAAAAGGUUGUAUGUCUUGGAGACACCUGUUCCUGAAGAGGAAACCUCCUAGUUCUGCACUAAGGCAGAAAGAGAUGCUUUAUAAGAAGCCGUCGAUAUGCCAAUGAAACUGGCAUGUCUUCAUGCUGGCUACCAUGAACUCAGAAUUGCAAAAGCAAACAUGAGAAACAGUCAGCAUCAAGAUAUGAUCGAACACUGAAGUUGCUCUAUCAAGAGCAAGCAAGGCAUGAGAAGUUUGAAGUUUCAAAAGGCCCUUUCAAAUCAAGUUAGCGUGAGGGAGCCCCUGUAGGUUCGCCCAUGUACUCAAGAUGAUUGGGUAUGCUGGACAAACCUUGAGAGAUUGGGGGUUUUCUCCCUCGAAAAGGAACUUGCAACUGAUUUGAUCUUGCAAUCGUUGCCAGAUAAGAUUCAGUCAAUUUGUCACUAAAUUUCAAUAUGAUGAUAUGGAAAAUCUCUUCACGGAACUGCUCGCCAUGUUAAGAACUAGCCGAGCAGAAUCUGAGUCAAAAAGGGAAGUCCCAUUCUGAUGAAUACGGAAAUGAAAGAGACAGCAACAAAAAGCCGACUAAGUAGAGUGAUAGUGGGAAGGGCAAGGAAGUUGCAAUCCCAAGACCCACAUGCUGCUUGAAGCCUAGUGGAGGCAUAGGCAAAAGAAGGCACCUGCUUCAUUGGGUAGACUGGACCAUUCUGGAAGAGGANAAUGAAUGCUUUGACUUAGUUAGCUUCAUCUGCAAGUAACAUGGUUAGAUGACAAUAUUUUUGUACUUUUGGUUAGUAAACAUAUGAAAAGCAAUGAUAUACAAAUGCAAUACAUGCUUGGUGAUCAAGAACCACACUCACAAGGUAACCCAACCACUAGGAGGGAAGCAAAGGCAUGUACUGAUCCUUGAGGCUAUGAUAUGACAUGAUAUGAGCCAUGAGGGAUCUUAGGGCAAAAAUUGGGGUCUUACAGAUGCCCCUAUUUAAGGUCAUUCUAGCCGGAGAAGUGAAGUUUAGAAAUCUUCAUAUCGACGCGGUAGAAUGGGCUUAAAUAACAUUAAUGAGACAAAUUUUGGUCCCUAAGAGACCUCAUGAUGCAGAUAUAUGCAUGUAAAAGACACAAAUUCUAUGGGGAAUAUGAUUCACACAGAAGAAAAGACGAUCCAUCGGAGUAAUACACUCACCAGGAACAGAGACUCUAACAAGACUCUCAUGGGGAUUCUUAUUGGGGAUAAUAAAAGAAAAGGAAUGCGUGAGCAGGACACGACUUCGAGUUGGGGAAAACAAAACUGACACAACGUGUGCAAGACACGACUCUGAUUAUGGAAUAACGGAAAUCAGACUGGAGACCUCACUGGGGAAGUAAAGGACUCGAACCGGGGAAAGAAGCAAUUCCAAAGGAAAACAUUUCCAUUGGAAAGACUCAAGCUGACUCGCGAAAUGCAUGUACUGGGGAUAACACCAAUACAGCCACACCAAUAGCAACACAACUCCACCGGGGAAAUCUAGAAAAAAGACUUUCCAGGGGAAACCAAAGGAUGAGAUGUCGCCGGUAUACGGGCAACAAAUUCAGGAAGAAUGAAUAUCUAAGACCGGUAUAAGGGUGAGGGAUAUCAAUCAAUCCAAACGUCUGAGAAAGACCUGAAAAAGGUACAUAAACUCAGGAAAAUCUGACUCCACAGGGGACCAAGGUCAUAAUAGGGAGCAGAAGGGAAGGAACACCUGGGAUACCGAGGUAUAUAAUAGGUGACCGACCGAAACGUGAAUUGGUAUAUAUGCCAAGACACUCAUCAUCCUGAAGGAAGUUAGAAAAACAGACUUGUUUAUAGGAUGGACAUUCAAUUCCACAAGGAAUAUGAAUCUUACUCUGCGGAGAAAACAAUCAACAGAUUGACCCAAGAGUGUAUGAGACAUAUUAUUCAUUACCGCAGACCCUGAAUAAUAUAGCUCAAAAGGAAGAGACACCAGACGAUCCGGGAGUAUAAUAAUAGGUGACCUACCAAAGACGUGAAUUGGUAUAUAUGCCAAAACACUCAUCAUCCGAAAGGAGGGCUUGAAAAAGCAAAUCGACUUACAGGAUGAACAUUCGAAUCCAUAACAGGAAAACGACUCUUACUCAACUGGGGACACAAACCCAAAGAGCGCAUGAGAUAUAAUAUCCAUUACCGUCAGAACGUGGAUAGAAUACUCGCAUGAGAUAUAUUAUCUAUUACCGGCAGACCGUAGAUAAUACACUCGCAUGGUAAGAAACACCAAGGAUACCGGUUACUGGGUAUAUAAUAGGUGAUCUACCGAAAACGUGAAUUGGUAUAUAUGCCAAAGCACUCAUCAUCCAAAACACAAACUGGUUAAAGGAUGGAUAUUCGAUUCUACAAAGAAUACGAAUCUUACUCUACUGGGGAAGAUCAACAAAGGAUUCCGACCAAAGAGUGAAAGAGAUAUAUUAUUCAUUACCGGCAGACCGUGAAUAAUACACUCGAAAGGAAAAGACACCAGAGAUACCGAAGUAUAUAAUAGGUGACUAACCAAAGAAGAGAGACAAUCGAUACCAAGCAUCCGGGUAAACGAAAGCCAACUCAAAGGGAAUAAACUGCAAGCAUCCGACAAUUAUCCGAAACAACAAAUAUUCGACUCCGCAAAGGGAAUAACGAAUCUUACUCGACCAGAGGAACACACAAGGUUUCGACUAAAGAGCGCCUGAGAUAUAUUAUCCAUUACCGUCAGAACGUGGAUAACAUACUCGCAUGGAAGAUUAUCCAUAACCGGUAUAAGGGUUAACAAAGGAUAAAUCGACCGAAAAGAAAGGCAUCGGGAUACCAAAAUAGGUAUAUAAUGAUGACCAAUCAAAAGGAGCAACAAUCAUUACCAGGCAAACAGGUAAAUGAAAGGCGAUCCGCUGAGAAUGAAUUGCAAGCAUCCGGCAAUUAUCCACAGGGACUGGCUGGGGAUGUAUUGAUAAACAAUCAAUGAUCCGGGGAACAAAUCACUAGCAAACGGUGAAAAGACCCACUGGCAACUACAAAAGGGGAUAACAUUGCGAGCAUACGGCAAUGAUCCAGAAGACAACUUGCUGGGGAUAAAUUGCUAGCAUCCGGCAAUUAUCCAAAAGCAAAGAGGUAAUAUCAACAUCGAACAACGAAUGAAGAUAACCACAAAGAGUAACCAUCAUCGGUUAGGAUGAAUAACAAGGUUAACUCUGCAAAGGAGAAAUUAGGGUUUACAACUACCAAAUACGGGGUAGAAACCAAAAAUCUGGCUGAAGAAACAAGAGAUUAAUACUACCGACUACUGGGUAGAAACCAAAGACUCAGCUGGGAUAAAAAUUGCUAGCAACCGGCAAUUAUCCACUCGUACCAUAAGGCACAAACUCCAAUGGGGAGAACAAUCACAACAUGGGAUUUAUAACUACCGAAUACGGGGUAGAAGACCACAAACUCCACUGGGGAUAAAAAUCACCACAGGGAAACGCAAACUCUGUGUGGGGAUAACAAGCCACAACAACAGAAAAUCCACCAUCAACCAGAACGAACCACAAAGGUUACCUCUGCUAGGGGAAAGAGAUAGGACUUACAACUACCGAAUACGGGUAGUAGCCAUACUCUGGUGGGAAUAACCACAAAUUAGGGUUUACAUCUACCGAAUACUGGGUAGAAAACCAACAACUCCGCGUGGGGAUGGAACGAAUCACAAAUCCGCACAGGAAACAAAAAAGGGUUUAUAACAAACCACAAACUGCUGGAGAGCAGGCAAACAGGAUUUACGACUACCAACUACUGGGUAGAAGACCAACAACUCUUGCUUGAGGAGUAAAAGGUAUAUAACCACAAAUUCCGCCAAGAAGCAAGGAACAUAGGACUUACAACUACCGGUAUAAGGGUAGAGGCCCAAAAAACUCCGCUGGGGAUAAAUGAAUUGAUGCCGGUUACUGGGCAAACCCUUCAUUUCUUCCACAGGGAAGCACUAGAAACAGCUGACAAAACGCCGAUUCGGGAUUGAUCCGAAAAGACAGACUGAAUCAAAACACAUCCUAUGAGGAUAUAACUCAAUAGGAAAAUCCAUCCCAAUAUAUGUGUUGGGAGGAAACGGAAGAAACCGUCAUCCACUAGGAUAUAUCUCAGUGGGGAACUGCAGAAGAAAAGACAGACACUUUCUGCUUAUGGGCUGACUCUAUAUGGAGAGAUUUAAACCACCCAACAUCUGCUUGGGAAGAUCUAUAAAGAGAUCUAUAUCACCAAUAGCAGAAGAAUAACAAACAAAAGGAUAUAUGGCAAAAAUGUAAUAUGAAUAUCUGAAUGUUUUAUGAAUAUGCAUGAAUAUGCGUGAUUUAUGUUUGAUGAAUGCUGACAAAACAGACAUAUCUAACACAACCAGGUCCAGGAAUCAAACGCCUGGUACUAUACUUCCAGGGGAAAAACCAACUGGAAAGCCAAUCUGCUAGAGAUCCACAUGCUGUAAAGCAAAGAUCUGCGGAUACUGCAGGGGAAACAAAGAGAUCAGGAUACACUAAAUCUCUGAGCAAUGGAUCAGCAAAACAACCCAGACAGGGUACAGAAAGUCACAACGGGCAAAACUGCCACCAAGACCAAUCUGUAGGGGAUCAGGAAAAUCCUGAGGAUAUCUGCAGGGGAUCCCAGCAUCAACUGAGAAACAAGAAUUCAUGGCUCAACCAAGAACUACUGCAAAGGCAACUCCAAACAACUCUGGGGAACAACCCAUUGAAGGAGAAACAUCCAAGUAGAAUCUAACUGCACAAGCAACUCUACUGAGGAUCAAAAAUAAUCAGGAAAUCAAUCCAAUCUUGGCGAUGCUAGAGCCACCAACCGACCCUACUGGGGAUUUGAGAUAGCUUUCAACAGGCAGAAAUUACCACAACAACCAUUCUGCAGACUAAGCUAGGAAAAACGGAAAGCAACCAUGUUGAGGAGAGACACAACAACUCCGCUGGCAACUGCACUGGGGGAGAGAUUACUGCUGGCGAAGAACGCGAAGUCUUCAACAACAUCUCUGCUUGCGACUAUACUGGGGAACAACCCCACCAACAGCUCUGCUCGCGACAAUGCUGAGGAAAGCGGUAAAGUACCAGGAUAUCAAUCCACCAAUCACUGAAUCUACCACAAGGAGAACAAACCAUGCUGGGGGAUUACUGCUGGAGAAGAAACUGAGUCUUCAACCACCACCUCUGCUUGGGGAACAACCCCAACAACAAAGCGGGAGAAAGAGGAUACAAUCAAAUGCCAGGAAUAUGAACAAAUGUCUUACCUGUUGGGAAUCAUACCACCCUCGGGAGAGCACUGAGACAUCCCUGAGCAUCCUUUUGUCAUCGUGAAUAUUCACUUUGUUUAAAACAACAAUUUUGAAAAAUUUAUUUGUUUAAAACAAUGACAUUUUAUCAAUUAAAACAUGCAAAACAUUUGUUGAAUUGAAACAAAUAAGAAUGCAAAUAAUUGGAUAAGCUCAAAUUGAUUUGAUGGAAUGGUAGCCUGCAAAUGGCAAGACUCCAUAGAUCUGUACAAAUUUGAAAUCAGUGAUAUAUAUUGGAAGAGGGCUACAUUGAACAUAAUGAUCCUUUCUCUACCAAUUUGAAUCUCGAUGUAUCCGAAGCUUCAGUUGACGACGAAUCGAGAAUCUUCUGACGAAAUGACGACUGGUGAACAGAAAGUCUUGUCAGGAUGCAGUUACUUGCCAAAUCCCUAAUUUUUGCCUAGAUUGCCCCAGGGUGAGGUACUCAAUCUAGCGGGAUGCAAAUAUNNNNNNNNNNNNNNNNNNNNNNNNNNNNNNNNNNNNNNNNNNNNNNNNNNNNNNNNNNNNNNNNNNNNNNNNNNNNNNNNNNNNNNNNNNNNNNNNNNNNNNNNNNNNNNNNNNNNNNNNNNNNNNNNNNNNNNNNNNNNNNNNNNNNNNNNNNNNNNNNNNNNNNNNNNNNNNNNNNNNNNNNNNNNNNNNNNNNNNNNNNNNNNNNNNNNNNNNNNNNNNNNNNNNNNNNNNNNNNNNNNNNNNNNNNNNNNNNNNNNNNNNNNNNNNNNNNNNNNNNNNNNNNNNNNNNNNNNNNNNNNNNNNNNNNNNNNNNNNNNNNNNNNNNNNNNNNNNNNNNNNNNNNNNNNNNNNNNNNNNNCCGCCUGAAAAGGCUCUCUUAACAACAUAUGGACCCUCGUAGUUUGGAGUCCACUUGCCCCUGGAAUCGGGCGCGAAAGACAAGACUUUCUUGAGCACGAGGUCACCUUCUCGGAACACACGAGGCUUGACCUUCUUAUCGAAUGCUUUCUUCAUUCUCUGCUGAUAUAACUGACCAUGGCACAUGGCAGUUAAUCGCUUCUCUUCAAUCAAAUUCAACUGGUCAUAACGACUCUGAAUCCAUUCAGCAUCAGUCAACUAGGGACUUGAGGGUAUAAUUUUUCUUUUUUCUUUUAAAAAAAAUUUGAAAUUUUUUCCUGAUUUUUGAUUUUUUUCUUUUUUUUCACCCUCUCUUUUUUCUCUUUUUUUUUUUAUUACAUUUGCAAUGCCCCAGUUUGACUGUUUUGCUGAUUCUCAAGAUACAGCUGAAUGAGCUCCUUUGGUGCUCAAGAAGGCGGGUAAUCUCAUCAGGAACCCCCUUCAACAUCAUCUUCCUCUGCUUCGAAUACAAGGAAUUCAAGAUUGGGAGAUGGCGUUGGAUCAUUAUGUUCAAUGGGUUUAGAAAUCCCUGCAUAAUGAUUCUGGAUAAUGAAAAGCUUUUGAAUUUGAACAAGAAAAUCAUUUGUGCAGAUGAAAAAUGUUGUUUUCUUGUUUUUCAGGGUUUUUUGUGAUCACUGAUUUCAUGCAAAAGCAAAAAUUGAAAACAAAUGGAAAAACAAAUGUUUAACAAUGCAUUAAUUGAAUGAAAACAUCAUUGUAUUAAAUGCUGCCAACAAUGUCAUCACUUCUCCUUUUGGCAUGGGAGAAGGGUUUUGAACAAAGUUAACAAUUACUCUGAUCUAUGGAUGACUGUAGGAACAUCUACAGCGACCCAAUUGUGGCAGACACCACCAGGUAUGACGAAAUUGUUCGAGUCUUCUGCAUCCUCUUCCAAGAUAGCAGCAGCUUCCUCAGGUUGAUCAGCAUGGAUGAAACCUCCACUCGUGAACAAACCUUGCUCAUUAAACGCCCCAGAACAGUAGCCAAUGCCAGCCCGGGAUCUAUUGUCUUCAAGCUCGAUCACCUUCCCUAAACCAGCAACAGGAAUAAAUCCAUCAAAAGCACUUAGUAUGGCAAAUUCCCCCUUGAGUUCACAACUCUCUUGCUCAAAAUGGUCCAUCACUCUGGCAGAGAUAACCCAAUGUAGUACCGGCGAAGUGCGUCUCAAAAUAAAUGAAGAUCGCAGGGUCAGACCAUAGGACGGGAGACCGGAAUAAAACACUCGCCUAUGCAAAUGAUGCAUGAAGUGUUUGUGCAUAUGUUUGUUUUUUUAUUUCAAAGGAACUCGAGGGUUUUAUUUGCAAACUUUGAAAUAUUUAAGCAUUUUGAUCGUAUAUGAGAAUAUCUCAUCAGAUACAUCAGGUGAAAAAAAUUUCCUGUUUUUUCCAUGUUUGAAAAUUUUUGCAAAUAAACUCCUUUGAGUUCCUUGAAAAUUUUCUUUUUAUCUGAUGAUAUGGAUGUAGAUGAGUGCAUGAAUGCAUGAAUGCAACAAUCACACUCAAGGAUCAAGCAAGUCACACCAAACAAAGGUCAUGGGAAAGCUCAUUGUAUCCCUAAUAUCAAUCAUCCAUUUUGGUGGAUUUAGGUUUUCACCUNACCAUGUGAGAAAAGCUUCCACUCGCUAGUGAGGGGUUAACCCUAUAAUAAGCGAGGAAGACUUACAAUUCAAUCAACUAAGGACAAAUAGGUGAGGUUAACAUCAACCAACUAGGAUAAAUCAAACCUAUGACUAAUGUAUGAAAACUUAAUAAGCAUGGACAAAGCCACAAAACAAUUGAGUGAGUUGGAUUAAUGGAUUAUGAUUAUUCACAAAAGGAUGGUCAAGGUAUGAUUAAGAUUGAUUCAAAGAAGUGUUAUGAAAUGGAGUUUGAAAAGUCAAGGACUUAUGGUCCAGGUUUCUAAUUUUAAAAGAGGUGAGAUGUUUGCACAACAUGCAUUUACAAGUUUUUAAAAGUCAACAAGUGAAAAGGGUUUUGAAACAAAAAGGGUGAGGAUGAAGAAGUGUAAAACCUCUUAGAAGUUCACCUCUUGAAAUCAUAUAGAAGAUGAUUCAAGUGUGUCCUUAGGAAUAAGCAAUGGACAAUGGCAAAUAAUCAAAUAAGGUGAUACCGGAUGCCACUCAAUGGUCUUAUACCAAUCUCACAAACAAAAGCGGAUAUCGGAUACCAAUAACUGGGUUUACACCAACCUCCUAAAGUAAAACAAUGAUACCGGAUGCCAUCAAUGGUCUUAUACCAAUCUCACAAAAGCAAAAAGCGGAUGUCGGAUACCAAUAAAUGGAUUUAUACCAACCUCCUAAAGUAAAACAAAACUUGGAUGUCAGAUGCCAAUCUAUUUGGACUUAUACCAACCUCAAAAGUAUGGUCAUAGGAAUACAAAUGCCACAUCACAGGGACUUACAAUUGCAUCCUCUCAUACAACAAACAAGAGCAAAGAAGAUAUGAGUGACCAAUGAGGUCUUACACUCUAUCCUUCCAUAUCAUGGGAACAAAAGCCAAUCAACAUGGUCUUACAAUUGUCCUCAAUGGGCAAACAAACAUAGAUCACAAGGAUAUGCAAUAAUGAUCAUAUAAGAAUUAACAAUCAAUAAUGAUGAAUGCACAAUGGCAAGUAAGCAAUCAUGUUCAGAUGAAUCAAAUAAUCAAUCAAACAAGUUCAAGUAGCACCCACUAUAACCAAUCAAUUUAGGCUCAAUCAAAGGGUUUGACUUAAAAAGUCCACUGGAAUAGGGUAAAUGGCACUCUUAACCUUGACAUUGAGAGCCAAGGUGAAGCAGAUGAAAGGAUAUGAGGGGUGUGCCUUAUCACUCUUAUCCCUGGUCAGGGAGAGCAUUGAAUAUCAGAAGGUGUGGGAGUUCAGAAAGAUGGAACUCUCUCCACAUUUUAUUGACUCUAUAGAUCUUGGGUUUGGAUCUCAAUGCUACAACCAUGUAAUGGGAGCAAGGAGAAGACUCACAGAAUAGUAGGAGAUAGGCUAUAUAUCUCUUUGAUCUACCAAUUGCCUUAUUUAAAGGACUUUUCCUGCUUGGGACAAACAUAAACAAUCACAAACAUCGCCUCUUAAGGAGGACUUCAGACAGUUGCCUGGCUAAAUAACAAGCCAGGUCUUCCAGACUACAUUGUGCCUCAUCACUCUUAUCUCUGGUCAGAGAGGGUAUUGAAUAUCAGAAGGUGUGGGAGUUCAGAAAGUUGGAACUCUCUCCACAUUUUAUUGACUCUAUAGAUCUUGGGUUUGGAUCUCAAUGCUAUAACCAUGUAAUGGGAGCAAAGAGAAGACUCACAGAAUAGUAGGAGAUAGGCUACAUAUCUCUUUGAUCUACCAAUUGCCUUAUUUAAAGGACUUUUCCUGCUUGGGACAAACAUAAACAAUCACAAACAUUGCCUCUUAAGGAGGACUUCAGACAGGUGCCUGGCUAAGUAACAAGCCAGGUCUUCCAGACUACAUGGAGACAAGAGAGUCUACCUCAAUGCAAAUGCUAUCAAAGCAAAGCAAUGCAAGUUCUUAAGAGAACUGAGCAACUAAGGGUACCUGAAAUCAAUCAAAUAUAAUCAGCAUCCCAAUCAUUAAAACAGAACAGACAAGGUAAUAAACCAAUAGUCAAUCACAAUCAAACAUGUGCAAAAGCACAAGGCUCAGAGCUCAAAUGAGAUAAGCAUCCUACAAAACAAACAAUUAGUCAAAUGAAUUCAGCUCAGAUAUGCAUCAACCUUCUUAAGGCAUUAGCUUUUUAAGCACUUUGCUUCUUAACCUGAAAAGUCAAAGUCAAACUCAAACAUGAGUAACAAGACCACUAGGACAAGCCUAGGGUCCAAAGGAUGGAAAAAAUGUAAAACAGCAAGUGAAACAUGAUCAAAAUCAAGGUUUAUCAAUUAAAAAGAGAACCUAAUUGGUCUCACAUCCAAACUAUGCACUAAUAUUAUUUUAUGCACCAUUUAACUCAAAGUAAGCAAGUAUGAAUCACAAAUGAGUAAACAGCAAGAUUUCAGUCAAACAAAUAUCAAAACAGCUCAAUAAAUUCUACAAAAAUUCUAUACUAAACAGGACACACUCAAUGAGCUACAUGUCAAUUUUCAUGCAAUUUGGACUAGUGGAAGUAGGGAAAUUAAAUUCAACAUGUCAUGGCAUGCAAAAACCAACCUAAACUAGGUCACAAAACAAGAGUCUACUUCAAUCAAUUGCAAAACAGUGAGAUCAAAUGGGAAAUGAGUGGGACCAAAGCCAAAUUAAAGCUAAACAUGUUAGGAAACACUCCACCAAUUUUCACAUUCAUAGGAUAAGGGAUGAGAAUUCUACAAGACAUGUAAGUUUGUUACUCCAGAAACUAUCCAAAAAUGCUAAACAGCAAUCAAAAAUCCAAAUCAAAUAGAAAAUGGAUCAAUUAAAUCCACAAAAAAUCAGUGUGAAACCUAGCAUAUAAAAGUCAUCUCAUGCAAAAAAUCAGAGCCAUAGGCCUAGCAUAAGCAUGGAAAAAUAAAUCAUGAACACAGCAUAGCAUAGUGUGACACAUAUUGUCACACUCAAAAAGAAUUAAUCAUAUCUAUCAAACCAGAGAUCCAAAAAUCACAAAUUAUACAUCAAAAUCUCCAGGAAUGUGUCAAGAAUCAUCAUAUGAAAUUUCAUUAAAUUUGGCUAAGGCAUGAUUAUUUGGUGAUUAAAAUGGUAAAACAUAUGAAUAUUGCACACAUGUCAAAAAUCAAUAAGCCAUUCUAAAAUUAUACCAGGCACAACUUGCACUACUAUGCCUAAAAAAAACUAGGGGAAAUUUGGGAUCUAACGAAAAAAGUCCCAAUUAAUUUGGACUAAAAUUGAAUUUAAUAUGAUUUUUGUAAGUUUUGUUAAUUUAUUGAAAUAUUUAUUUAAUUGCAUUAAGUGACUUAAUUAGGCGCAGUGGCAGAACCGUAAUAACCCAAUGCCAAGUCCAAAACGCGCAGCAUCAUUUAAUUCGGUGGCUGCAUCUGAUUGGGCGAAACCGGCGCCAAACACGUUUUGAAAUUUGCCAGGCAACGAAACGGAUUGAAACGCGAAAUAUUUCCAGAAUUUGAAGUUCAUCUGCGUGUUCUUCGAGUUCAUCACUUGCAGAUUCGGUUAGGACCAUUUCUUCACCAAAUCGCACGAGCCUUAUACCGUUCUCUCCGUCUCUCAGCGUAGGUCACGAUUAUGGCCAUGAAAAUGUCUAAAGAUUAACAUACGUAAAGAUCCGAUCGAAAGAAGUUUUGGUACACAAACUUAAAUCUACAAUAUCUUGAUGAUUAGUGGAUGAAAUCGCAUGGUUCAAGCAUCAAAAUGAUCUACGUUCUACGCACUACAUAAGCCAUACAUUGAUUUCAAGAAUUAAAGAAAUUGAAAACUCACCUCUUGAUGAUGCAGCUCGCGGUUCAGCGUGUUUUUGGCCUUGAUUGAUGCAAACAGAUCGCGAUUGAUGAUGUAGGAGGUGAAUAGUGAAGAAAUCUUAGCUCACAGGUGCUUGAAUCCGCGGAAAAUUGCAGCUGCCAUUGAUGAAUGAUACUUUGCACAGUGAGAAUUUGGCCACGAUUUUGCUUCAAUGCUUGAAACAGUCCUUUAGAUUCACCUGCACACCAAGAAUCCACAAAGAAAUCGCAACAAUAUUGAUGACUUAUUGAUGAAAUGAUGAAGAAAGUGAAUAUAAAAAAAAUGUGAAAAUUGAGAGAAUUUGGUGGCGUUUUGGAUUGGAUCUGAAAAUGUGAUUAUCCCCCCUUCAAUUCUGUUAGAAUUAGGCUUUUAUACUCUCUACUAAUCACCCUCUAAACAUGAUUAACCAAUUGGUAAAUGGAAAUGAUUAAAAAUGGAGGUGUUUUUUGACAAAAUGGGAUUUUCACCCUUGUGUAUGAAAAUGGUGCAUGAAGUAAUAUGGACGUGAACAGUGCUGUAUGAGAGCUCAAAAUAGAGUUAUGUAUUGAUACAAAAGCUCCUGCAUCGAUGCGUAGCACAUUUUUAACAGUAACGGAUCGACUACACAACUCGUAAGUAUCAAUACAUUUAGCACUUUUUAAAAGUAUGCACGACACAUAAACUUGUUUGUAGACAAUACAUAGCUUUUUUGCCCUUGCAUGCAUCGAUGCGAAAUUCGUAUGUAUCGAUACAUGGGAAAUUUUGCCAUGCACGUCGGUGGUAAUUUGAUCUUAUCUCCUCAACCGUUCAUCCCGAUUCUCACGAUCUUGGACUUUUUGGAAAUGGGAGAGAAAGAUCUACAACUUUCAUGUUCAACAAAGUUCCAUUUGAAGAUUUUUUGAUGAUGGAAAGUUGAGUUGAAGUCGUUCCAAAAACUUGCCAUUUUUUGGAAACUUGAAACCAUAGGUUUUUUCCUUUUGGAAACUUUUGGUUAUGACCCUCAAUCCUUCAAUGUGAGUAUUUGAAAUUUCAAAGGAGACUUGUUUGACAUGAAUGGCAGUAUUUCUAAUCACUUCCCACCUCAAAUCCAUAAUUUACUUUGUGCAGUUGACUGCUAGGGCUUCAGUUGACUGAUGAAUGCCUUGAUGAGAUCAAGCCUUACCACUUGAGAUUUUGAUACCAAAUGAUAUCACAAGUUAUAGUGACUCCAAAUGAAUGAUCAUGGUGCCCAAAUCUUCAAGAAUGGCCACUCAUCCACUGCUCAAUGAAUGCUUGUGACUUAGUUAGCUUCAUCUGCAAGUAACAUGGUUAGAUGACAAUAUUUUUGUACUUUGUUAGUAAAACAUAUGAAAAGCAAUGAUAUACAAAUGCAAUACAUGCUUGUGAUCAAGACCACACUCACAAGGUAACGCCACCACUAGGAGGGAAGCAAAGCAUGCCACUGAUCCUUGAGGCUGAUGAUAUGACAUGAUAUAAGCCAUGAGGGAUCUUGAGGCAAAAAUUGGGGUUUACAGCCUAAAACUAGGGUUUGGUAUAAAAUCUGCUUUUAUUUCUAUUCUUGCUCAGUUGGGGGAAACCUCUUUUUCUGGCCCUCCAUAAUGUCCACAAGGUCUCUCAAAAAAUCAGCUCUUUAUUUGAGUAGAAGUGCUUCAAUUGAUCAAAUGGAAUCGGGGAAUCUGACAGUUUCGCGGAAAAGUCAACACUGUGGGGCAGAAAAGUCAACUCCUGAAUUUGAGAGUGGAAUCUCAAAAUCCAUGCCCUAGGGGAUCCUACAUGUGGAAAUUUGAUCAGGUCGGAUCAUGGAUUCAUCAUUUAAUCAGGAAUUGGAAAAAGUUACUUAAUUGAAAUGGUUGACUUUCCAUUUAGGGCAGUUUUCGAUGAUCGUUGCACUUCACUUUAAGCCCAUUUGCUCAGAUAAAAGCUCCCUUUGGACAAAUUUCUCCGCAACAUGAAAGUUGUUUUCCUUUGUUCCAAGAUUUCUUAGAUAUAAAGUUUAGCUCGCAUUAUUGGAUUAGAAAUUGGAAAGUUAUGCUUAGAAGUGAGAAUUUUUUCAAGGCACUUCGAAAAUUUCUAAGUCGAAAAUCUUCGAAAUUUGUCAAGACUUCUUGGCCAGUUUUCAUUGCAUUCAAGGCAUUAUUCUUGAAAUACUUUCUUUCACACAUUGCUUACUUGCCAUGUCCAUCUUUCACAUCCUUUUGGAAUCAUUCAUUUGGAUCCAUGGUUUGAGAGCACUACAUUCAAUUAACAUGGGCACCAUGACUUAAUUUUCUCCCAGGAGAUUUUGGUCUGGCUGGCCAAUCAGAUUUCCUAAGCAUGGUGCACAAACCAGUCACGUUGUUUUUUACCUCUUUUAGCCAUGCAUUGGACAUCCAUUCACUUAAGUUUGGCCCAAAAUAAGCAAACAUUUUACACCGUACUCACUUUCACACUUUUAAUUCUCUUAAUGGAUAAAUCAACUUAUUAAAAAAAGCCGCAUGAGAACACCUAAUCCACCCCUAUUUAAGAAGCUGAAAACCCUAACCCUGAGGAGCAUUGGAAUUUCGUGGCAAGGAGGCAAAAGCUUCAUCACAUAUCAGAUUCCAUUCCAUUUCUAUUGUUCAUGGUAGGUAAUCAUCUCUUCCAUGGCCAUGUUUUCAAUAUAUUCUAUGCUUGCUUACCAUGUUCAUCACCAAUUAAUUCGCUUCCGUUUUCCAUAUUUCUUUUUCUUAUUUAAAAUAUGUUUCUUUCCCGUCCAUAAAAUUACCAAAAAUAUUUUUUCACUUUUCUUAACAUAUUUAAUUUUAAUUUUAUAUAUUUUUAUUUUCCGUAUUUUUUUUAAUACUAAAUAUUUUAUUUUAAAUAUAUUUAUUCUAAAUGGUCCAUUUUAACACACUUUUUUUUAUUGUAUUUUAUUUUAUGACUUAAAAGUUAUUGUUAGCCCUUUGAUUUUGGGAUUGAAAGGUUGACCGCAACUGUCUCAUGGUCCAUAAAAUUUAGAAGAGAAAUGAUUUUUGUUUUAAUUAAAAUAAUUUUUUUUUUUAAGAUUCUCAGCAGCAUGUCAAGGUGUAAAUACGGGACUUUUUUUAAAUUUUUUGAAGAAAUAAUGUUCUCUUUUUCUCCAGACGUUACUUGUCAUUGUUUUUGUUUAAGUAGUUUUUUUCUUCUUUUUUAUUACUUAUUUAUAUUAUUGUUCAUUAUAUUAUUAUUAUUAAUUAUUAUUAUAUUAUAAUUAAUUAUUAUUAUUAUUAUUAGAUUAGGAUUUAAUUUUUUUUUUUUAGAUCUCUUGGACCCAAAUUAAAUAUAGAUGUUUGCAUUUUCUUACCAUGCAUGCAUCCUUUGGUUAUCUCUUUUAUUAUUUUUAUUAUAAUUAAAAUAUUUAAAUUACCUAGUUAAUAAAUAAUAGAUUUUUAAUUUAUUUACUUGAUCAUAGUUUUAUUUAAUUAAUUAUUAAAUGUAUUGUUUGAUAACUAAUUAAAUAAUCGAUCAAAAUAAAAUCAAUAUAUUCAAAACAAUAAAAAUACUUGGUCAGCACAAACUUAAUUUUAAAACCAAUUUGGCCAACACCCAGUUUCCCACUAAUCAUCUUCAUUAAACUUUCCACAAAUUCAAAUCCAUUUCAAAAAUAGAAUACAAUUCAUUUUUCAACCAUUUUUCACAAAAUCAAACAAUAAUAUUAACUCUUUUCCAAUAAACUACGAAAGAAGAGACCGUUGAAAAUCAGUAUUUCGGUGAAGAAUCCUCAAAUGAUCAAGCCUGAGCCACGCGUUUUGGGUUAACAGUUCAUUCUUUCUUUCAUUUCUUAAACCACUUUAAUUAAUUUGAAAAAUAAAGAAGGCCCGUUUGGGAUCAAGCAUUCCUGGCUGAACUCUUUAAGACAAUUGAUUUAUUCAAGUGUUCGAUUUGUCCAUCAAACAAUUUUUUCUUUAAAUACAUUCGAAUGAAAUAAAAGGACCGUUGGAAUCCAGCAUUCCGGUGGACCCUGAUAUGAUUGAUCCGAGACUUGCGUCUCGUUCUCAAUCCGAGCAUUCAUGCAUCAUUUAAAAUACAUUCAACCAAUCAAACUAUUUUCUUGGCUCCGUCAUGGCGGUUAAUCUUCAAAAACCUUUUCAUAAUGAAAGACAUCUUGUCUUAAGAUGAUGCAAAGUCAAUGUUUCAUCCCAUAAUUGAGGAGAUAAUGUGUGUUUUCUGAAUGGUUGAUUUGUAAAUCCAUUCGAUGUGAUGUAUACGUACUCCUCCUCAUCUGUUUUUUAGGGAAAACAAUGUUUUUCGUCGAUUAAUACAAGAUAGCUUUCGUAAAAUCAGACCAACAAACAAACAUUUUCUAUGCCGGAACUACCGUAAGCCUUGAAUUCUCUUAGGUGCACCCGGAGAUACGUAGGUGCAGGAUUACGAAACUGGCUCGUGUCCAGAGCCCAUUAUUAAAAAUUUAGGUUUAGUUCCUUAUUCUGCCCCCUAAUAAUAAAAAAAAUUAGGUCCUCUAUCAUAAAAUUCAAAAACAUUUCUCUUCUCCGCUCCUUUCCCUAUCCCAAAUAAGUAGAAAUGAGUUAGAAACUAAACAACACGCUAACAUUGCGAUAGAAACUAACUAAAUGGUUCCGGUUGAGUAUACGGACGUGAAAAGAGGUGCUAAUUACCUUCCCCUUGAAGUAACCGACUGCAAAACCGCAGAUAUUUGGUUUGCGAUGACCAUAUCUUAUCCUUUCUUUUAGGGGUUUUAUCAAUAUUUUCCCGUUUCUCUAAUUUGGAAAUAAGCAUACGCUGUCGGGCGUGACGGAGACGCGACUCUAUUGAGGUCCCACUAGAUCCCGCGAGCGUGGGGUGCAAUUGUGCAUCGCGAGCAUCCAUUUUUCUCAUUUUUUUUUUUUUUUUUUUUUUUUUGUUUUUGAGGUGCGACAGGAGACGGAAUCUCUUUCUGCCACGAAGUAAAUAUUAUCCAUAAAAGGUUUUAGAUGGAAAAUAAAGAAACAGCAGGAAAAAAUAAGCAGUUGUAGCCGCGGGAGAUUAAUUCGUUACCUUUAGAUUUAUUGACUAUAAUCAAAAGUCGGAGUCAUAACUACAUUCGAGUCGCCAGCCCUUGACACCGGCCGAGUGUGUCUGACUGUGGCACUUCUAUUUUUAUCAAUAAUGAGGAUUAGAAAGAAGUUAGAAAAGCGAACAAAAACCGAGGAAGCUGUUUUAAUAAAUCAAAUAUCAAAAAACUAAUAAUCAAAGUGUCAAGAGGAUCUGGGUUAAGGGGGUUGGUUAUGCACAUGGGAAGGUUUUAAGCACCAAAAACAUCCUUAGUACUCCAAGGGAGCCCUUUUUGCCAAAUGUUGUAUGGUAGGUUGAUAUUUGUGGAAAAAAUAUUUGUUUCCAACAUGAUUGGGGAGAAUGAAAAAAGAUUACAAGUUAUUACAAUUUUGUUGUUUGAAUGGAUAAACGCUAUUGCCUACAGUACCAUGCACAAAGGUAGGAUCAAAACCUCGUAGUUCGGGGUAAAAUCUUCAAAAGUGAAAUAGGUGAAUUGUUGGUCAAGAAGCCUUAAGGUCUUUUGUUUAUCAAAGGGAGAAACUCAACUUAAACACAAUCCACCAUGUGAGGAGAUCUUCAACAUACUAGUGAGGGAUUCCACCCUAUAAUAAAGUUAUGCGAAAGACUUAUACGGUCCAGUCACUAAGGAUAAAGGUGAGGUUUAACAUCAACCACUAAUGAUAACUCAAACCUAAUAGCUAAUGUUUAUUGAAAAGCUGGCAAAGGGUGGGCCAUUGGAACCACAAAAAGAAUUUGAGGUGAGUUUGGAUUUACCAAUUAGAAGGUAUUUACAAAAGGAAAGUAAAGUUGACUUAAGGUUUCAUUCAAAAAUAAGUAUUAUGAAAAGAGUUUGACAAAUCAAAGGUAUAAAUGCGCUAGGUUUCUAAAUUUGAAAACAUGUCAAUGUUUUGCAGCAAAAUAAGUUUGCUUGGGUUAGAGUGGAGAGAAGAAGAAAGAAGCGGGCUAGGUCCCCAAACAUGCAAAGAUGAGGAAGAGAAAUAAAACCCUUGGAAGUUCCCUUUUUGAGAUCUAAAGAUGAUCCAAGUUGCUCCUUUUCCUUUGGAACUUAGCAAUAAUAAGCCAAUUAAACUCAAGCAAUCCGCAAAAAUAUUCAAUCAAAGCUCCUAGGAUCCUUCAUUUGGAUUUGUCUCUCUUAUCUUGGAUGCUCAUGACAAUGGUACCCUCUAAUUCGCUCAAGUUUAGGAUCCCUCAUCACACAAGAACAAACAAAUCAAAAAGUUCCACAAAUGCAAUAGAAAGAAUGGGACAAGAGUGAGUUUAGACAUAGGGGUCCUUUCAAAAUUCAAACUUUCAGGUUAAGCAUUCUAAGGCAUGAGGGCCCUAGUUGCUCUAUCAAACAUAAUUUGCAUUUGCUAAAGGGCGUGAGGCCUAGUUUGCUCUUGAACUCCCUUAGCAUAGGUAAGGUCCUAAUUCUAAGUCCUUUCCUCCUUUUUGCAUUGGUUCACACAAAAUCAAAACAAAACACUAAAGGCAUAGUAUAUACAUAUAAUGUGCUCAAGUGAGCAAAAGGCGAAAUGGCAUAAAGGAUAAACAUGAGCUCAAUGAGCAAAAGGGAAAAAGACAAAAUAUGAAUAAUGAGAAAAAAAAUUAAAUUGCCAUUAAAAGUAAAUUGCAAGUAUUAAAUGCUUGAUUAAAAGUUAGUAAUUAAAUAGUUAGUGUUAGUGUGCCAAUAAGGCAUUUAGCGCUAUGUUAAGCAAUGCGUAAGUAUGGACUAAUGUAGUAGUCACACGCUAUCUGAGGCCGGUCAAUAAAACUAUAGGCAAUAAACACCAAGUUAGAGACCAAUGACUAGUAAGCCAAGCUCCUAACAACUUGCCAUGACAAAAAGAAAAGAAGAAAUGACCUUGUAUGGAUUUCAGGUUCUUUGCUUGACGCAGAAGCACCUAUCUUUGGACAGCAAAAGCAAAAUUAACUUGAUCUUUGAUCAAGAUGAAUUUGAAUUUGAGAUCAAAAGAAGGUUAUAGCCUCUCAUUAUGGUCCAAGGGCUUAACCACAAAUCAUUAACUCAUUGGUCAAUAAGAAAAGAAAAAAAAAAAAGAAAAGAUGAAGAAUGGAAAUGGAAUGUGCAAAAAUUGAAAUUCAAAUGAAACAUAACCAAAAACGCAUUGAUCAAAAAACAUGAAUGGAAUCACAUCAAUCAAAUGGUAAAACAGAAGUGGAAUGAAGUUGGAAGUCAAGAAAAAGUCAAACAUAUUUUUGGUAUUUUUUGGAAUUAAAAUAAUACAUGAAAUCAAAAUGAACCAAUAAAGGUCAAACUUCAAAUACAAUUUCAAAUCAACUUGGAUAAGUCCAUUGGAUCAUUCAUGAGUCUAACAUGGUCAAACAAGGUUUGACAAAUUUUCUCAAUAAUUUUUUUGGAAACAGAAACUAAUUUUAAACAAUUAAAUGAAGAAAAUAACAUAAGUGGACUAAAAAUCUCAAAUAAAUCUCAAAAUCAACUAAGAAAUUGAUGAGCAACAUUUUUCAUAAGAUCAUCAAUCAUCCAAAAUAAUGGUUAAGAAAAUAUUUUGGGCAUUUUUUGAAUAUAAAAAGCAUUUUAAAUGAAUUAUGAAAAUCAGAAAUGAAAUAAUUCACAGUAAAAUAAUUAAAUGGAAAUCACAAAAUAAUUUAAAAUCAUUUUAAUGAAACUAGAAUUUUAAGAGAAAUUUUUUGCAAUUGGUCCAUAUUUUUUGUGAUUCCAAAUAAAGAAAGUUAUGAAAAUUUUUAAAAUAAAAUGGAAUAAAAGAAAUUAAAACAGAAAAAUUAAAUAAAUUAUUCAAUUUUAUGUAAGUGUAAAAGUAAUUAUAAAUCAUUAAACUUUUUAAAAAUAAAUGGAAUGUUGAUGAAAUAAACAACUAUUUAAUCAUAUAAAAUGUUUUAUAACUCAUAUGGUCAUCCGAUCCGAUUCAAUUAAUUAGGUCAUUGGGUUACUAAUUAAAUUCACUAAAUCCAUUUGGUCGGAACAACAUAACUAUAAUAAUCCCGAGUUUUUAACUAAUUAAAUCACUCAUAUCAGGCUGAUUUCAAAACCUGAAUGGUUUAAAUGUUUGAACUAGUGACCGGUCGGCGUCACAUGCCAAUUUUCACGCAGGUCAAUUGCAACUAGGGUCCUUAUGACUUUACUGGAACCUGCUUUAACACUUUUGGUUCUUCGAUCUACCUGCUGUUACAUUUUGAGCUUGAGUCAAUUUAAUAGGCCACAUUUAAAGCAAGAAUGUUAUGAUAUUGUGUGAUACAAUUUUGUCUCUCUGAGAUCAAAAUCAGGAGGCAUUCGUGGAGCAAGAUGUUCCACAGAUUUUGAAAGAAUUUUCAAGAGAUCAAAUUUCAAGGAAUUAAAAGAACAAAAUUUUAUUUUUGAAGAUUUAUCAAAUCAAAGAUCGUAAAUUAACUCAGCUUAAUAAUAGAUUCUUGCGGUUCAUGGAUUUGCUUUAAGCCACAUCCGAAUGAUACUGUCGCAUCUGCCAAAAAAAAUAUCACAUCCCUCACGUUCGUUGUACUCAACGGGAACAGCUUUUAGUUAAACUUUGUGAUUGAAUGUUAGCUAAUGUAAAUUGUAUUCUUCGAGUGGUAAAUAAGUUUAAAAAGAAGAAAGGAACCACAAAUUUUUUUUUUUUAUAAGGACCUGACAGAUUACGGGGUCUUUACUCCUACUGUAUCUCCAGAUGCGAUGGAAAAUUCCGAGGUUACAUAGUUCUAUGCAAGACAAAACAUAUUUUUGGUGUUUUUUAGUUAUAGUUCUUAACGAAACGAAUUAAUCUCGCUCAUACGUAUCUCUAAAGGUGCGAUGGAGAAACUCAAAGUUACGUAGUUGUUUUGGUAAGAAAAUGAGUUUUGUCUAAUUUGAUUUAAACAUUGGCUUGUUUGCUCGUCGGGAGACUUUAAGCGCGUCUAGUUUAUAUUCCCGCAUAAGAAAAAGGGGGGGGUUUUUAAACUAAAACAAGGUCCUUUCUGAAAAAGGAUUUUUCGAUCGCACAGAGGGAGAAAAAAGAAUAGGUGUUGGAGUUGGUUUUCGUUGUAUUCGUCUGGUAUAGGAGGUGAGAAAAUGAUAGGUUUGUUGUUGUUUUUAUGUUAUUUUGUUGAGAAUUGUUCGAUGAUGAGAUUAUUGUGUUCGUGAGCUAUUUUUGUUGUCUGCUGUUGUUUUGCGCGCUAUCGGUCAUUGUUGUAGUUGAUUUUUGGUUUAUUGAGGGUAUAUGUUAGUGUUUGAUAUGUGUAAUUGGUUGCUCCUCUUCCAUUUUUUUCUCCUUUUCUUCCAAUUGAUAUUUUAAUUUUUUAUGGAAGUCGAAUAUUCACAGUAGUGAGACGAGCGGCGCUCCCAACUUGAUUAUUCGAAGAAUAAUGAGAGCAUGUGUCACCUAUUGCCUUUAUUGCAAGUUUAUUAGAGUGUUUUGAAUCGGAAGAACGAAAAUUCGAGCCAAUAUGGAGAACACCUCCCAUUCUCUUUUUCAUCUAAAGUUUAAUUAAGAAAGAUUUAAUCGGGCUUCUUAGUAAGCGAAAAAGAAAACUUGAUGUUGAACGAUGUUUUGUCCGCGUUAGUGGAAACUGAUUGUGAGAGAUCGGUUUUGAGGAAUUGGUUUUUAAAAAAAAGUUUGAAAAACAUCAUUUCUUCCAUAAACAAAAAUCGAGAACAUUGCUUUUUUUCAUUAACAAAUAUCAUAACUCCAUCAACAUAUUCUCCAACUUGGAAUGAGACAAGGAAAAACAUGGACUCAAACUUAAAAAUGUUAGUUAUUGUUGUUGUUCUUGUUUUUAUUCUUGUUGUUAUUCUUGUUGUUGUUGUUGUUCUUUGGUUGUUGUUGUUUGUUCUUCUUCUUCUUCUUCUUCUUCUUCUUGACGUUAUUGUAAUUUUUGUUGUUGGUUUGUUGCUGCUUCUUCUUCUUAUUUUUCUUCUUGUUAUUGUUGUUGUUUUUUUUGUUUUGGGUUUGUUAUUAUUGUUGUUGUUAUUAUUGUUGUUGUUGUCCGUUCUUGUUUCUUGUUCAUUGUUCUUGUUGUGCUUCUUCUUGGUUGUUAUUGUUGUUGUUCUUGUUCCUUAAUAAUCUUGUUGUAGUUAUUGUUAUUCUUGUUUUUUCUCUUGUUGUUCUUGUCAUUGUUGUUAUUGUUGUUGUUGUUGUUAUUGUUUGUUUGUUCUAACUACUGUAAUUUUAUUUUAUUUUAUUAAAAACCAUACAACAAUAGUUGUUUAAAGUAACUAUUCUGGUAGGUCCAAGACAUACAACAACGGUUGUUUAAAACAACAACAGUUGUGAAUAGGUUUUACACACCAUCUUGACUUAUAUCAUUAGUCGCAGACGACAUGUCGUGGAAAAAAUCAUACAUACAUCACAUCUUACCUCAAUAAUAGUUGGUCAAACGUGAUGGUAUCCCUUUUCCAACUAUUACGAGAGGUAUUUCCGUAAUAGUGAUCCUAGCAUACUCGCUAUAGCGAGUUAGAAAGCUGCUUAUAGCUAGAGUCCCGUUAUAGAACAUUGGGAACAAAAGAUCAAGAAAUACAAAUUCCACUCUCAAUAAAACACUCCCUACCACAUUUUUUCACCUCUAACCAUUUGUAAAAACAAAACCUAGAAAGGUUAAGAGAAGUGCUCUCACACUACUUAAUUUCAAGAAAAACAUCACUAAUCAACUCUUCCUUCUUUAAUUUUAGAAGUAACUCUCUACAUUAAUCAAUUAACAAAUCGCUACAAUUGUUUUUCUCCUUGAAUACAACAAAGAACAAUGGUUUCAUAUGUUUAAUUAUUUUCAUAAACUUAGUUAAAACCAAAUAGGGAUAGCAUGAAGAAUCAUUAAUUGUUUGUUAUUUCAUGUUGAGAAAAUUACAUAUGCCUUCUUUCUAUAAACUGUUACAACAUGAUAAUCAUAGGUUUAAGCUUAAAAUUAGUCAAAAACGAAAAGGAAAGAAAUAUAUGGAAUGAAGAAAAAAAAAUUAAAAACAAAGAGUACCAUAUUGAAAAGUGGUUUAAGGCCAAAUAAGAGAGAAAUAAUUAAAUAGAUAUAUUAAAUUGUUUUAGUACUACUGCGUCAAUAACAACCGAGUUUUUGUAGUAUUUAUGUUGCUUUACUUCAAAUCCAAUCCACUUAAUAUAAUAUUGAUAACUUACAAUCUUAUAACUAUUUGUAAAAAAAAUAAUUUAACUAAGACUAUCUAUUAUAAAAUAGAGUUUUAAUUAAAAUGCAAACUGACAGUGUAAAGAUAUUUUACAACUGUCAUUUAUUCAACAGUCAAUUUGAAUUUUUAAGAGAAGUUUGACUUUUCUAUAAUCACAUGUAAAGUAACCCAACGGAUGAUUGUGAUGUAAUUGAUGGUGUAUAAUUUUUUACACUGAACAGUGCAUAACAGUUAAUCUCUAUAGAAAUAUAGCAAUUACAACUAAUUUUAAAAACGACCCAAUUAUUAUCUUUGGUGAGGUUUUGUGUAUGGGAGGCUAAGCGUUUAGUCUUCUAUGAGCGAGAAAUAAGAACUAUCUAAUUACAUAAAUAUAACUAAGAACUAUGUAAAUUUUUCAAGUAAAAUUUAUAGGGGGGUGGUGGAAAAUUGAGAUAAUUAAGAUGAAUGGUUGUAAUAAAAAUCACAACUUAAGAUAGCAUAGGAUAAGGAACAAAAAUGCAAUUAAAGUGAUACAAUGAUACUUAGUGGCUAGUAUUAACAGGUUCCUUUGUUGAAAAUUAAAAGAAUGUAGUACUAAUCUAUUUCCAAAUACAGGGACCUAAGAAGGAAACUUGGUGGAAUUUUGUACACCAAAAAUUUGACCAAUUUAGUAAAAUGACUUUGUUUGAGACCUUACAAACUUUCAUUGAGCACAAUAACACUACAAAUUUCAAAUGGCUAAUUUCCCUUUUUUCUACGAAAGUUUAUAGUCUUUUUUUCAUGUUGGCCAUACUAUUAAAUAACCAAAUCAAAGUUAUGUCCAUCUGUAAUAUAUUUUCAUACAAAAUUUCAAGGAUUUCAAUCUUUUUUAUAUUUGAAUUUUUAUCGGUCUUGUAGCAACUCGAGUAAAUAUUGAAUCAUCUUAAGUAUUCAUGCGACAAAUUCUAAAAUAAUUUGAGAGUACUUAAAAUACUAAUAAAAGAGUGAUCGUUCACGAUUCUAAUCGUUAAUCCAUUUAUUUUACAAUUAAAUUAUUCUAACAAUCUUAUAGUAGGUCAAAUAAUAGUAACGAGACUUUCGUUUCAAUUAUCAAAGAAAUAAAUUAUUGUGUCAUAGAUACAUUUUCCUAAACACAAGAAUUGACAUUCUAAAUUCAAAUACGUAAUUUUUUUUCAAAUAAUAUUAAACACAAAAAUUAUAAUAUCAAGAUCCAGAAUAAAAUUUUCUACACAAAUAAUAUCAGAGUACGAAUAUCCAUUAUUAUAAUUUUUUAAUAAAUAUAUACAUUUAUUAUAUUAAAUUGAAUCCUAAAAAUUUAGAAAAUGAUACCGUAAUUAAAAUUUUGUCUUUUUGGAAUUUUCUUAUUGCUAUAUUUUCCUAAUUGAUUUUGUAGGACACAGUCCCACGGUAAAUAAUGUCGGUAUGGAAUUAUAUAUAAUAUAUAUUAUAUAAUUAUAUAUAUAUAUAUAUAUAUAUAUAUAUAUAUAUAUUAAUAUAUAUAUUAUAUAUAUAUAUAGUCAAACCAGCUGUUCAAUUAAAGUAUAUUAGCAUUUUCUUUCAUGUAUGGAUAUUGUUCCAGAAUGAAACAAUACAUUAGCAGAAUGUUUAUACAAUGAUAAUUAAUGUAUCCAUAAAAUUUAGUUAUAUUUUAUUUAAAAAGAAAACUAUAUAUAAUAAGUCAAAAGUAUAUAUGUCAAAACUCUGCAAAUAUUUUGUUACUAUUUCCAUCGUUUUGGUAAUUUUGGUUCACAUUUUUACUGUUCACAUUUUGAAAAUAAUUUAUUGGUUCACAUUUUGAAAAUGAUUCAUUAAAAAAUGGAGGGUCUUAUAGUAUGUGAAAUUUUGUUGAAUCCAGUUCCAAAUAUUCACAAGACAAAUUUUUAAACUCUAAAUUAUCAAUUUUAUGUUAAAUGUAAAAAUAUUUUAAAACCCAUUAAAACUUUUUUAUAAAUGAAUGGUUAAAUAAAAGAGGCUAGAAAUAAUCUAAUUGGAGUACCUUUGUAGCAGUUUUAGUUCCUCCAAAUAAAGCAUCAAUGGCAUGCUGACAAGAUCUGGCUUGCUCAGGUACACUACAAGAAAAAUGAUAAGUUAUUUUUGAAAGGUUAGCGCGCAUUUUUGAACCAUAUCAAUAGUUGCGUUCACAAAGGUUGUGGUUUU
Molecule: long non-coding RNA, 53296 nt
Filed under: Lathyrus oleraceus (garden pea)
Lineage: Eukaryota; Viridiplantae; Streptophyta; Magnoliopsida; Fabales; Fabaceae
Description: Pisum sativum (pea) long non-coding RNA (PSAT_LNC021795)
Source: RNAcentral